AUAGUGAAGCUACUGAAAGUAGAAUUAGUGAUGGUACUAUUGCAGGAGGGUCACCUGAAGAUUGUUCUAUUCAAAAGGCUGCCUAUAGUGAAUCGGAUAUUAGUGACAUUUUGGUUGCUCCUGAAGCGACCAAUAAACCACCAGAGUCUGAUUCCACUGAUGAUUCUUUAGCGGCCUCGAGCAUUCAGAGUGAAAGUGGUAAUGCUACUCCCGAAACCAACGAACCAGAUGCAGAGAACCUUCUUGACAACGUUUUUCCUGAACAGUCAGUUUCUAAUGCUAAUUCAGAACGUUUAAGCACCGGUGAAGGUGGGGUUUCUGGCUUGGGUGAAAGAGAAAAUUCAAACUCUUCAUUGGACCCCACUUCUGUCGAGCCUUCAAUAUUAAAAAUCCCAGUUGAAUCAGAGUUGGAUGCAGGCAUCAUCCAUGAAGAGUAUAUAGAUGAUAAAAGCUCGGUUUCAACCAAGGAUGUCGAGCCGAACAAUGUUCUUGGGGUUCCAGUUGACAUGGAUGAUUUACAUCCCACUAUGGAAAACAAAAAUGGAACUGCCUCGAGUGGAGCUGCUUUGGUGACUGAAGCAGCUUAUCAACUUGCUUAUGAAAAACAUAGCAAUGAUUAUGAUGAUAUCAAUCUUAACAGAGCAUUUUUUGACUCUACAAAUCCUGGAAAAUUUUUCACUUCAGCUGGUAUUCCUGCUCCAUCUGUUGUUUCCGCAGCUCUGUCGUCACUUCCAGGAAAGGUUUUGGUUCCUGCUGUUGUCGAUCAACUUCAAGGUCAGGCAUUAUCAGCAUUACAAGUUUUAAAGGUACUUUAUCAGAUUGCUCUAGUAACUAAAUUCUGUUUUGUCAAGAUUGGCUGCGUGGUUUCAAGUUGCUUCCAGUUUUAAAUUUGAUUUUAUCUUUCCAUUUGGACACUAACUUUAUUCCGUUUCCAAAGAAAACGGGAAAAUGUUAUUUUCUCAUAGUUCCUCUCACGUAAAAAUGUGAAGUGGUUUCUGACCCAUAUAUAUUUAUCCAAUGAGAAUUUACUGAGUCUUUUUAUUUUCUGGACACAAAACAUAAAGGAAAGCUAUCAAAGCAUAGAAAUGUUUAAAAUAAAAUUACUUUUCUGUAGUAAGUAAUUUACACGACAGUUGCAAGCGUAGAGGAACUCACGGAAUGAAUGUUUUUAUGUAUAUAUGAAAUGAAUUAAUUUUAAAUUAAUAUACUUGAAAAUGAAAAAUUUUAAAAAAGAACCAGGCACCGUGGAACUUCAUCAACACUUUGUAUUUGGACGAAAACCAAGCACACCCAAUUAUUGAGCUAAUCUCUUAUUCAGCAAUGGCUCCACACAUUUUCUACAAGCAAUUUCUAACUGUUGUUGAAAAUUCUUAAAGAACAUUUUAAUCCAAAUUAAACCAGAAAUGUUCUAAAAGCCAAAAGACUCGUUUGAAUUCUUCCACACACAGGUCUGCACACCCAUAUUAUUGUUCGAGUACAGAGUUCGUACAAUAAUAGGCUACACUUGUAGCCUUUACUUCUUCGUUUUAAUUACUGAAAAUAACCCAUUCAAAUAGGGAAAUCAAAGAUGAUGGUCGCAUUCCUUUAGUAGAGAUUCAGCCGUAAAUUUUAAAUUUCAUGCUUGAUUGUUUCCGAGCUCAGUUUUAAUUUAUUGAACUCUUAUAGGUUAUUGAGACUGAUGUUCAACCAGGAGAUAUAUGUACUCGGCGAGAAUAUGCUCGUUGGUUGGUUUUAGCAAGCAAUGCUCUUUCAAGGUAUCAAUUCCUCUUGUUUUAUAAUGGGCGGUGGAAGAUAUUAAUAUGUACUGUUUGAAUUUGUUAUAGAUAAAGGAGUGGCUACAGUUUCUCUGAAUUUCUUUUUAGGAACAUAGCUUCAAAAGUCUAUCCGGCGAUGUACAUUGAGAACAUUUCUGAACUUGCAUUUGAUGACAUUACACCUGAAGACCCUGAUUUCCCGUCCAUUCAAGGUAGUGACUCAUCUUUUGGGUAAUUAUUCAGAAUUUUGGUGGGAUUUGAAUGACUUUCCUUUUUUGCAUUAUGGUUUAUGAAUCAGUGGGAUGUUUUCAGGAUUGGCAGAAGCCGGACUUAUUGCCAGCAAGCUUUCAAGACGUGAUAUGCAGUCAUCUUUAGAUGGAGACCCAAGUCAAGUAUUCUUCUCUCCUGAAAGGUAGUUAAUUUAUUUGCUCACGCAUAUUUGUCAUGCUUUUAUCAAACAAUUGGCUUUUUAAGCUCAUUUAAGAGUAUGUUUUGUAGAGACUUUUGUAGAUUACUAGUAGGCCCUAUGCAAUUUGUUGGUGAGAAGUGAUAAAGUCUGUGGAUCCUAUGGAAUGUGUGAUUAAAAAUGCUGUUUGGCCAGCGUAGAUUAUAAUUUAAGCUUUGCCAAAUAUACACUUAAUUGAAAUAGUUUAAUGAAUCAAGAAUAGCAAAAGAAAAGGAUAUGUGGAUGCUUAUCUAGGAACUGUAUCUAGUAUUUGGAAAAUUUUCUUGUUGUUUUCUCAUGUCUAUUUGCAUGUCUAUAUUUUUCUCUGAUAUAAUUUUUAUAAAUUGAACAUUGUCAUCAUAUUCUUGAUUAUGUGGUUUCAUGUGUUGUUUUAACUACAACAUCCUACGGAACCUUUUUCUGCUUGGGACUUUAGCACUCAGAAUGUUACUCUCCUCUUAUUUAUUGCCUCGUGUCUCAUUUUUACUUUCUGGAUCUGUUCCUUUACUCAAAUUGAUGUUGCCUGUGAAUAUAACAUCUGGGCAUUUGACAUUUUUCACUUCCUCCUCUUGAGCUAUUCCUGAAAUUGUUGUGUUGCAGCCCUUUAUCUCGUCAGGAUCUCGUGAGUUGGAAGAUGGCCCUAGAAAAUAGGCAGCUACCAGUAGUUGAUAUAAAGGUUAUAAAAAUUUGAUAAUGGUUACUUUUGUUUUCUUAUUGUGGAUAGCAUAGAGAUCAUUAUGAAUUUCCAAUCAGCCUGCCCUUUCCUGCAACCAGUACUUGCAGCAGUUAUCCGGUUUCAUAGAUAUUGACAAGAUCAACCCUGAUGCAUGGCCUGCAAUUGUAGCUGAUUUAGCAGCUGGAGAACAGGGGAUUAUAACCUUAGCACUUGGUGAGUUUCAUCCGUGUCAAUAUGUCAUUCCAUCUAACAUUUACUUUCUUAUAUAGAGUUGAGCUGUCCUAUUACUAUGAUAGGAUAUACAAGAUUGUUCCAGCCAGAAAAACCUGUAACGAAAGCUCAAGCUGCUAUUGCCCUUGCAACUGGUGAUGCUUCUGCCAUUGUUAGCGAGGAACUUGCACGUAUUGAGGCAGAAUCCAUGGCUGAAAAGGCUGUAGCUGCUCACAGUGCCCUAGUGUCUCAAAUUGAGAAAGAUCUCAAUGCAAGUUAUGAACAGGAGCUUUUUCUUGAAAGGGAAAAGAUUAAGACUGUUGAGAAAUUGGCAGAGGAGGCGAGACGAGAACUUGAGAGGCUGAGGGCUGAACAGGAGGAAGAAAAUCUUGCCUUGAUGAAGGAACGAGCUGCUGUUGACUCAGAAAUGGAAGUUCUUUCCAAGUUAAGGCGUGAGGUGGAGGAGCAGUUGCAGACCCUUAUGAGUAAUAAGUUGGAGAUUUCCUAUGAAAAGGAAAGGCUUAACAAGCUCCGGAGGGAUGCGGAAACUGAGAAUCAAGAGAUAUCACGGUUACAGCACGAGCUGGAAGUUGAGCGAAAAGCCUUAUCCAUGGCUAGGUAAGGAAUUAGCUUUCAUCUUUUUGAGUAAAAGCUUAUCUUUGUGUGGGAAAUUAUAUAAUCUAUAUCAUGAUUGAGGGAUUGCAUAAAUGUAUAUCACAAACUUUGAAAAUGAUACCCCCUCAAUAAUUCACGUUCUAAUUUGCUUUUAUCUUGGUCAUUGUUUAAUCAGUGUACAUUGGUCAUAGAUGAGCCUCUCAUUUCUUUUCCCUUUUAGCCAACCUCUCUGCAAGGUCACUUAUGACCAUUUUUUAUUACAAUUUUGCACUGGUUCGUUAUUACGCACUUUUGCCAGAAUAUCAAGGCAAAAAAUACAAAACAAACCAUCAAAAAUUCAAUACAAGCUUCUUUAUUAUGUGGCUUAAAAGAUUCCGUCAUAAAUUGUUUCUUGUGGUCAAUAUUGAUAUAUCUCUGUAAUUUCCUUCCUUAUAAUUUUACCUUUGUUUUCUGGAGAAAUUUUUCCCCCUUAAUAGCAAAAUAAGGAACAUAUAAAUUUACCAGGUAAAGACAUCCUAUUCUUUUAACUGGAGAAAUUUUUCCCCCUUAAUAGCAAAAUAAGGAACAUAUAAAUUUACCAGGUAAAGACAUCCUAUUCUUUUAACCCAGAUUUAAAACCUUAUAAAUGCAUUACCAGGUAUCUUUGCAAUGACAGAAUCCGGUCAAACAUUUGAUAGUUGAACUACUGACAUAGCCUUAGUCAGAGCUAAAAUAGGCUGGUUUGUCUCGGUUAUGCUGAUGGAUAUGUAAUUCGGACCAAACAUGUCGAAAGAUCUGCUCCUGUGCACAGUACAGAAUUUAUGGAAAGUUUAUCAUGUGAUAUACGAAGAAAUCAUUUUUAACUAUCCUCCACAUUUUUUCAUUGCUUCUGGUAGAUAGCAGAAGAUUUGAACAACGAACUCUCCGAGAAAUUUAGGAAGGGUUUGGUCAGAAAGACUUGAUUGCAAUUUUGGUUUUAAUCUAUCUAUGAAACAAUCCAAAAGGUGGGGGGAACAGAGAAAAAUAUGCUUCAUGACGUAGAAGGAUAUGAAAAAUAAUACAUGAAGUGAUGAUUCUAUUAUUUCGUUUAUAGUUUUAAAAUUCCUUACCUCAUUUUAUGUGUAUCCUACUCAGAGCUUGGGCUGAAGAUGAAGCGAAAAGGGCAAGGGAGCAAUUGAAAGUCCUGGAGGAGGCCAGAGAGCGUUGGGAGAAGCAAGGUCUUAAAAUUGUGGUUGACAAUGAUCUACGCGAAGAAGAAGAUGCCGGAGUUACAUGGCUUGCUACUGGAAAGCAGCUCUCAGUCGAAGGAACCAUUGAAAGGUCUGAAAACUUAGUGGACAAGCUUAGGGCGAUGGCAGACGAAGUGAGAGGUAAAUCGAAAGAUACUAUUAAUAAAAUCAUUGAGAAAAUACUCUUCCUGAUAUCAAUUUUGAAGGAAAAGUUCUUAAAGAUGAGCAGAGGGGCAGUAGAGAUGAAAGAUUCUGCUAAAUUGAAAAUGGAAAGUUCUUUACAAGAGUUGAGGCAAAAUUCUGCUGAAUUUACUUCAGCUGUUAAGGAAGGCACUAAGCGAGUUGCCGGAGAUUGGAAAGAAGGGGUCGAGAGAAUAUCCCAGAAGUUCAAGACAUGAAUUCAUGUUGCAUUUUUGUACUUGAGUAGACUUUAAUGGCCGCUGCAAAGCUUCUUUACUGCUUGUUGGGCUUCUGUUUACUAAAAUGGAAGAAUGCAGUACAAAAAACUGAUAGAGCAUCAAUAAAUGUUGUCUUCAUUGAAUAAUUUUUGUAAAGGGAAUUGUAGAAUUGUAAUAUUUCCUUGUACAAAACUCGAUUAAUUAAACCAAUAUGAAGAAUAAAACCCUGCUUCUUGUGCUUAGAUUAGAAUUAGAGAUUAAAAUUAGAUUUUUAGUAUAUUUUGAUAAACGUUUUUGAAAUGUGUGAUUCAAAAGUUGUGAAAUCUAUAAAAUAUAUGAUUAAUUUUGAUUAUUUGACUUUAACUUAAAUUAAAAUUUGAUUUAAAUCAAUACCGAGGCUAAAUAAUAUUUUUUUAAGCUUUGAUAAACAUAAAUAUAACAUUUUUAAGCUUAGAUAAACAUAAUAAUGAAAUUUACUAUUUGUACAACGAUAUGUAGAGGCCCCUCACUGGGUGGGAGGGAGGGUCUCGUGAGGGGAUGGUACACGAAUGUGUACAUAGAGCAUGGCCCUAGUUAAAUUAAGUCAAUGUUCAGUACAAAAUUUUUAAAAAAUAUAUUUUUCUUCCACAUUCAUUUUAAAGCAUUUUUAUAAUAAAAAAAUUAUAAUCGUUGAUUAAUAACAUUUCUUAUUUUUUAAUUGAACAUUUUUCCAAAAAAAUAAAUAAAUAAAUAAAAUCGAAAUCUAUUCUCGAUAAAUCUACAUUAAACAUGUUCCAAGUAUCACACUAUCCAAUUGUAACACUUUAAUUAUUGAAGGUGUUAAGUAUAAUAUACUAUGAAAUUGAGUAGAGUGAAAGAAAAAUUAGUUUUAACUAUUAAAAAGACUGUAGAAAUCGCCUAAACAUGAAAUGAUUAAGUUUGAAUAUCGCCUAUUUAAUUAUUGAAAUUACUUAAACUAAUUAAUUAUUGAUUUAAAAAUUAUAUCAUAUUUUAGGAGGCGAUACAGAUAUUGGAACAGCUUACCAAUCGGGUUAUUUUGACGUACAUAGUUCUGUGAGUGAAAAAAUAUAAAUAUUUUUAAAGUAUUUAUAAAUUAAGUAUAUUGUUAAAGCAUGUGCAAUUAUAUGCAAUUAUGUGCUCGAAUUAUAUGGUUAUUAUGGAAAUAUCUUUUAUUAUGAUACAUGUGGAUUUUAAAGAUUGUAUACGGUAUAUUGUGAAUUGAAAUAUGAGGUAUGAUUUUGAGAUCGACAAGAAAAGUACCCAUGAUUAUAUAUUUCUUCUAAUUCACUGAGAGGCCUUGGCCGUGUUCUAUACUACACUGAGGGGUCUUGGAUCAGGGAUGAAGGGGCCUCGACUGUGUACAUAUAGUUCACUGAGGGGCUUUGACCGUAUUCUAGAAUUGAUUAUGAGAGAUCUUUAAGACCAGCUUUCGUUCACGAAGGUGCCUUCGGCGAAAGUUCUUAGCCCGAGGGGCAGAUUACAGAUUUUAGUCAGAGGGUACAUUUUUUUAUAGAUUUUUCAGUACAUUUGAUGUGAUGAGAUCAUAACAUGAUUACCAGCUUAUGUUUAUAUCAUGACUUGAGAUGAUAAUUUACUACGUUAUGUAAACGUCUCACAUUUUGGCUAUAAUUAUAUGAUGUUAUCUUACGAGUUAUCAAUGACAUGAAUUCAAUUUUCAAUAAAAAUAUAAAAAUGAAAAAAUAUAAUUAUUUUCGAACUUCUCCACUCACUGAGCUAUCAACUCAUAUAUAUUUUUGUAAUUUUCCUACAUGUGGAAACUGAUUCUUUUUAUCUGAAAGAGCCUAAUGAUUUCAAAAUGAGAGCCGCACGACAUGUUGAGUGUUAUAACUCAUUUUGAAGAAGCACAAAGUAAAUAAUUUGGGUCCAUUGCAUUAUGUUUUACAUAAGCAUUUGAUUUUGUUGCAUUUUUUAAAUAACUCAUAGUCAGCCUUAAUGAUAAAUUUGACAUCUAGUCAGCAUUUAUUAUCGGCGCACGUCACGUUCCGGGUCCACUAAGGUAAUUCGGGACGGGUUGUAUCACCAAUGGUACAAAACUGAUAUUUCGAUAGUCUCAGAUUUUUGAAUUAUAAGAGCAUCUCUCAUACUUUCAUAUAUUGUAAUUUAGGUGUCAUUUAAAUAAUAAAAUUUCGAUAUAUGUGACAUUAAUCUUUAAUAAAUAGUUUGUUUAGUUCAAAUUUUAUCUUCUAUAAAAUUUGUUGUAAUAAUAUUUAAUAGGAGAGAAAAUGUUAGAAACAUGAAAGAGAUUCUAUUAUGGUGACGCACUUCAUCUACAAGAGCUUAUAUUUAGGCGGACUUCUUAACAAGCUUUUUUCUUGCUACUUCAACUAAAUAUAGACAUGAUGCAUUGGAGAUUAAGCCUAUUUUAGUUUUUAGCUUAUGCAAUAACCAUUAUAUUUCAAUCCACAUUAGCAUUGAAGAUGUUCUAAUAAUUUUAGAGUAUCUUCAAUGCUAAUGUGGAUUGCAAUAAAAUGGAUUAUAACAUAAGUUAGAUAAAUGUCUAUAAAAGUUCCUUUUUGAUGUAACAUGUCUAGAUCUAUUUACGACGAACGUGACAAGAAAAAGUAGACAUUGUCAAGAUAACAGUCUAAAUGUAAAGAUAUCUAAUUUAAUAUUUCUCUUUAUCUAUCCUAUUUAUAGAAGAACUCAUGAAGAUAAAUCUAAAGUUUAUCUAUUUAUCUAUCCUAUUUAAACUAAAAUGACUACAGUUAAACAUUAAUACCACAUAAUCAAAAGUUUAUCUAUCUAAAUACUACGUAAAUUUCAUUCCAUGAAAUGCAUUAGAUAUGCUCUUAUGGUCACGAACCCCUUUUCUAUCAUUGCUUUUUUGUAGUUGGAGAAUGGUUACAACUAAACAAAUAGCUAGAUAACAUAGUCUAACAUACCAAAUUUACAAUAAUUUAUUUUAGCUUAUAAAAGGAAAAAUAAGUCAUUGCAAGCUUGUUCCCAACCACCAGGCCUACUACCCAAGUAUGCUUGCAUGAUGGUCCCAUUCAAAUAUGACUGUAGCCUCUAAACAACAGACAACAGCUGCAACAUCAGUUCUACUCAGCUCAAAAGGACACAAGUAGCAAAUAACUAAUAUUAGCAGCCCCCGUCUUGAAGAAUUUGGAUGAACCAAUUACCCAAAAGGAUAUCUAACCAGAAUCAUAAACCUCGAAAAAUCACAGCUAGAUAGCCAACAACAGAAAAUAUUGCUUCAUACCAACUCAAUUACCUUUGAUCGUGAAGUCUUGAAUUCUCAAGUCUCAACUUCAUGUAUCCAAAUCAAGCUAUUCUCAAUAUCCCAAGCUGGAAGUUUCGCAUCACAGUCUUACAAUUCAAGUCUAGAGUCCACAAGCUUGUUCAGAACAAAAGCAGUUAGCAGAAGCCCAACAAGCUUUGAGUCACGAGAUGGGUUGCAUGAUAGAUUUUAAAAGUAACGCCAACAUAAAGACCAAAAAAUAAGUUUCUUGAUUUAAUAAUGUUGAAAGACCAACACAAUGUACUGAAAGCUAGAUGAAAAUGCACUAAAACAACUUCCAAUCAAAAACUCAGAUUCAAGAUACUUCCAAUACUGAAAGCCUAAGAAAAAAGGCUUCACUUAUUCUUUUCACCGCCUCCAGCAGCUCUGCAUAAAUUUCCCAAACAAUAUAAAAUGAAAGAAUCAAUUACAUUAAGAGACAGUUUGAUGUAGAUUUUUUAGAAUAGAUUGUGGAAAAUCAUAUUUUUGGAGAAUGUAUGGUUAGAAAUAGGGAAGAGUUAUGAGUUCACAAAAAAUAUUUUUAUUGAGAGAAUGUAAGGUUAAAAAUAAGUUUGGGUAUCAAACACGGCUAAAACCAUGACAAAUUCCUGGUAUUAUCACACAUGGAAAGAACAAUAAUAUCAUUCAUGAAAAUUACCUCAUCUUGCGAAGGACGCAAGACAUCUCCUCUCUCUUCUUCUUCGCUCUCUUGUGACUGCCCAACUUUCUUUUAGCGACUUUCAAAGCACGUUUGUCCUUUACAACUUUCAAAAGCUCAGUAAUCCUUUUCUCAGAUGGUGCAAAUCCCCGCAACUUCCCUGAUAAGGCUCCUUGCAAAAUGCACUCUCUUGCUCGUUUUCUAAAUAAAUCAAUAGAUCAAGAAACAAGAAUUAGAAUCCCAAAUUUUGUACAGCACGGGUAUGAAUUCGCAUCUAACUACUAGCUAUUAAACGAAUUAUUUCAUCCUCUUCAAUUUUUUGUGAAUGUUAGCCCAUGCUUACAAACCUAAGAACUAAUCUACUUAACAAAAGUCUGAAUUUUUUGAACAGGCUGGGUAAAUGGUUGUUAAUAGUGCUGUACAGCACUUAAUAAUAAACAAAUCAAGAACCAAUGAUUCAAGAAACCACAAUGAUUCAAGAAACCAUCUUGCAGCUUAAAUUCAGCAUGCACACAAUAUAUCAAUUCAUCAUUCUUGUUGCAUUUUACUGGAAUUAAGAGAAUACCCCCAAAAUGCCUUUGACUUUACUCUCCAAUUUUUAUUUUAUUUUAUUUUAUUAUUAUUUUUUAACGAAGUUAUAUGUUAUCAGAAGCUUGAUCUGCUAAACAAAAUACUAUAAAAUGAUCAAAAUGCGUGGACCUGGAAUGGCCAUGCAUAAUCAAAACCAAUAGGAGACUCUUUGGGAAGAACUAUCCGGAAAAAAGAAAAAUUAUAAUAAACUAGCCAAAAGGCGUAGAGAAACUCACGCCUUUUCUAGCAGACGGGCGGGGAGCCAGAUCCUUUGGGGUCACAACAUGGCCUUUGUUCAAACCCACAAACAGACCAGUGUUUGGCUGCUUUGGAGCCAUUACCUAUAUUCGGAAAAGUAAAGCACAGAUGCAUUUAGUUAUUUCUCUUACAUGUUUAUCACAAAAAUAUCAAAUAACUAACGCUAUUCCCUUAAUCUAAUUGAAUCAAAGAAACAAAAAUAUUUCCAAGAAUACUCGUAUAGCUUUAUAAACAGAAAUGUUAACUUUGAGCAUCAAUUCAGUGGUGGAGCCACCUGGGUUCCAUGGGGGCGACCAGUUUUUAAGUCAAGCAGAACACAAUAAACAAAAGCAUAAAAAAUUCAAGACAAAGGUCUUCGAAAAAAUCACUGUUGCUAGAGGAAGAUUACAAUCAAGAAACAACAAUUUUGAAAAAAAACAAAUAAUUAUAAGGACUUGAGUUGAAAUUAAACCAUUCACAAUAAUCAGAUUUAGUGCGAUUUCAACAUAAAAACGUUUUACACAGACGAAAAUCGGACAGUACCUUCCAACCUUGAUGAUGAAGAAGUUUAGUAGAAAUCACUGUUACACAAUAUGUCUCCGUUUUGCCUCUCCCCGAGUUUUUAGCAGAUACUGAUGAAGAAAACCUUAGCCGGUUGAAUAGAUGGUGGAAUAAUUAUAAGGACUUGAGUUGAAAUUAAACCAUUCACAAUAAUCAGAUUUAGUGCGAUUUCAACAUAAAAACGUUUUACACAGACGAAAAUCGGACAGUACCUUCCAACCUUGAUGAUGAAGAAGUUUAGUAGAAAUCACUGUUACACAAUAUGUCUCCGUUUUGCCUCUCCCCGAGUUUUUAGCAGAUACUGAUGAAGAAAACCUUAGCCGGUUGAAUAGAUGGUGGAACGUUUAUUUCAAGUUAUUCUAAAAUAGUUUAUAGACGGUGUAAAAAUAAUAUUUGGUAUCAAUUUGUUGAUGGGUUUGAUGAGUCUCGAGCGAAUUAAAGAAAAUAAAAUUUCGCAUAAAAAUUUAAGAAAAUAAAAUUGUACUCUCAAAACUCAUUUUUUAUGAAUUAAAUUUUUUAUAAUGAUAAAUUAUUAUAAAUGAGCAAUAUUUUUUAUAUUGCAUUUGAUACAUAAAUUUAAAACCCAUUAAAAUUUCCAGAUACGAAUAUGAAUAAAUUCAUAUAUAAUAACUCUAAAUUCAUAUAAUUCAAGAUUUAUCAAGUGAAAAUUCAUUGAAUCUAGAUUAAUGUAAAUAUUAAUUAAUUGAGAAUUAAUAAUACAAAUUUCACAAACAAAAAUAAUUAUAUACGAUUUAUUACAUAUCAAAAAACGAAAAAUAAGGUAUUAUUGAAAUAAUUAAAUUGUAAGGGAGUUAAAAUCGUCCAAAAAAUAAUUCUCUCUUGAUGUAAUACUUUAAUAUAUUAUGGAACCGAGGAAGAAAACCUUAGUUGCUUGCUCCCCUUUGCUCUAUGAAUAUGACACUUAGGUUAUAGUUGGAUAUGCAUGACUUUUGGGCUUUUGCAGAUUAUUCAUUUAUUUGUGUAGACUAGUCAAAGUUGAACGUGCAUUCUAAAAUACUUUAUAAAUGAUGUAAAAGUAAUAUUUGAUUCCAAAUUGUUGGAGGAUUUGAUGAGUCUCGUACGAAUUAAAGAAAAUAAAAUUUCGCAUAAAUAUUUAAGAUAAGAAAAUUGUACUCUCAAAACUCAAUUUCUAUGACUUAAAUUUUUUGUAAUGAUGAAAUACGAUAAAUGAGCAAUAUUUUUUAUAUUGCAUUUGAUACAUAAAAAUUUAAAAGCCAUUAAAAUUUUUAGAUACGUUAAUAUGAAUAAAUUCAUAUAUGAUAACUUUAUAUUCAUAUAAUUCAAGAUUUAUUAAAUGAAAAUUCAUUGAAUCUAGAUUAAUGUGACUGUUAAUUAAUAACACAAAUUUUAUAAACGACAAUUAUUAUAUAGUAUUUAUUACAUAUUGAAAAACGAAAAGUAAGGUAUUUUUGAAAUAAUUAAAUUGUUGGGGGGUUAAAAUCGUCCAAAAAAAAUAAUUCUUCCAUGAUGUGAUACCUUAAUAUAAAUAUAUAUAGAUUAUAGAUAUACAUGUAUCUCAAUCAAUUAAGUAAUAAAUACUAAUAAUAAUUAUUAGAUCAGUGGAAUAUUUAACUUUUCCUUAUAAAAAAUUAAGUAAUUAUUAAAAUUUUCUUAACUCAUAUGUUUAGGAAUUUAAUAAUUCAGAAAUUUCUAAUUCUUUUAUAUAUAUUUUUUUCCAUUUAUGAUAUUUUCUCAAAAUUUUGAUAAUUUAAACGAUAUGUUCUCUUUUUUACCACGAUAAAAAAUCAAUUAAUAUUAUAAUUUCUUAAUCAAAUGUUUAAGAAUAUAAUUAAUUCAAAAAUUUCAUAAAUUUGUUUAGCCCUUGUUUGAACCCAAAUUUGGAAAAAUAAUGUAUUUUUGAAUAUUAGAUUGAUGGAGAAUGUUAGGUUAAAAAAUUAGAAAAAGUUUUUUUAUUGAAAAAUGUGUAGUUAAAAAUGAGUUUUGAAAAAAUUAAUAUUUAAAAAUGAUUAGUUUAUUUGUACACUUUUAGCAUACAUAAUAGAUUACAUCCCCUCAUAUGAAGAGUGUCCAUGUAUAAUAAAUUAUGUGCAGCCCCCUUCAUAUGAGGGGUGUCAACGAUUAUGUAUAUAAAAAGUGUACAUGUAGCGCUACCUUUUUAGAAAAAUAGGGCUCAAACAAAAUAAUUGUAGUCAAAAUCGGAAUUAUUUUCAUAUCUUACAUGAACUCAUAUUCAUACCAUAUGAAUUUGUUGCAGUUAUACGUUAUAGAAUUAAUUACAGUCACAAUUGCUUUUCAUUAAAUAACUUAUCCAAGAUCACAAUGGGGACAUUCGGACACAUGGUAGUAAUCACAUGCGCGCAAUGGUCACAAUGUACAUUUUUUUUCUUUUUUUUAAAUUUUGGAGUGACUUGAUUUUAGCAAAUUUAUGAAAUGUUUAUUUCUCAAAAUGUGAUUUUAAUUAUAAGAGUUUAUCAAUUUUUCCUAAUAAAUAUGUAUCCAUUUCAUAAUGGAUUGUUAUCAAAUAUUGUACACGAACACUAUCAUGAUAAAACUAUUAUCCAAAAUCUCAUAAGCCUCAUGAGUAAAUAUAAUGUAAUUAUACUAAUAUGCACAAAAUAUGAUAACAUCAGUUCAUUUGAGAAAAUAAAAAAAAAUAUGGACCAGUAAAGGUAAAUAUAAAUAUGACAUAAGAGAGAUUGCAUAACCAAAAAACUAAUCUGAGGGUUAACAAAUUCUCAAGUUCCUUACUUCAACAUAGUUUACUAAGCACAUAUUGCAGAUGAAGAGGGAGUAAUAAAGCAGGCAAAAAAUUAAAAAUAAAAAGACAGCUAUACACACGAGGACACAUUUAUAACUACUAAUUAUUAUCCACAUAUUUCGUAGAAUCAACAUUAUUCCUCUUUAUAAACCACUUAUAAAUUUGCCAAUAACGAAAGCAGAUCAUAAUGAUCCGACGUACACACUCAAAUGCCCAACAUCAGUUAUUGCAGAUUUAUCAAACCAAGUGUCUUGGAGCAGAAAUGACCCAAUUUUUUUUAAUUGGAAAUGGAUGCUACAAGAGAAAAUUAAAUUGGAAAUGGAUGCUACAAGAGAAAAUUAAACAUCAGGGUUGAACCAUAUAGCAGACUCCAAUGGCUGUGUAAGCCAUUUGUGUGAGAAAAAAGUGGCGUCUUCGUCUACAAGAAAUGUGUUCCAAGAUUUGUUGUUUACUCAUACCAAGCAUUUUCAUAUUUCUUUCAUAUUGAUAGUUAAGAUUAAUAGCUGAUCAUAAACUUCCGAGGAUAUGGGCCAAUUCGGCAAAGCUUUUUAAAAGUCAAAAGCUACUUUUGAACAUGGAAUAAUUUUUUGGACCAUGCUGGGGGGCCAGAAGAAAAUUGACACCCCAAAUGACAGAUCCUCACAGCCAGGGUGGGUGGAUGAGUGGGAUUUUUUACAUUUUUUAUUCAUGUGGGGUCGGCGCAGGUCCCAUUCACAUGUGAGGAUCAGUCAAAACAGUGGGCAUUUCCUUUCUAGCAACUCGGCAUUUUCGUAAUUUUAUAGGUUUGUCUGACUAGAAGAGCUUUUAGUGGAAGCUGACUUAAGGUAGCUUCCUUAAUAAGCUCUUCUAAGAGAAGCAAGAGCCUUGCCAAACGGCCCCUAAGAAUUCCCAAGAAAUAGGUGCAUCUAAAACACACAUGACACCGUAUUCAAUUCCAAAACCUUUUUAUAAACAUCACAGCAACAUAACUUGGUGGCUGCUGCCACUUCGGAAACACGAGAUCUUUUCCCAGGUCUUCAUGGGAACAGCCAUUAGAUAACUUACAUUUUUUAUUUUUAAGUAUAUAAAAGUCCUUAUCUUGAGUGUAAUCUAACCAUUUUCUACUUUUAACCCAUAAAAAAUAAUUUUUUUCUACACAUAUUAUUGCUUUUUGAGCUUUUAAAAACAUACAUUAUAGAAUAACGUGGCAGUUACUAUAUUCUCGGACAACGAAUUCAUACAAAUCACAAAACCUGUCAAACUAGAACACCCAUGGAAACCUAUCCCGAUUUAAUUACCACCAGGAAUCUUAAUUUUUGAAAAACAUCAUUUUGUGGUCACAAAUUGAAAGCGAAUUGAAGAAUUUGGUAAUUAUACCACUAGUGAAAUCUGAUUCAAGUAACUGCCACAAAAUUGAGGCAAUUAUUUGAAGUAGCAAAGUGAAAAUUUUGGUAUUUAUAACACCAACAAAAUUUGAUUGUUUCAAAGUUAUCAGUCUAUUGACACCACAAAUUAGAAGCUAUCAAGUCCAAGAUGACCCAGCUGCGUCAGGGAAAAGAAUAGAAUAAUGAUCUGACUACUUCAUGCAUGCUCCACUUGGCUCGGAGAUCACAAAUAGGAAGUUGUCCGCAUUGUGUAUCAGAAGAUCGAACAAAAAAAGAAUCUACGGAGAAUUCGCUAGAGCAAAUAACUUCAAUUCUCACCGUAGAAAUCUAAUUAAUUGAAAUUCGUAAGACAGUUGAAAUCACAAAUUGGAAGUCGUCGGCACUUUGUAUCAGAAUUUUUGAAGAUAAUUAUCAUAAACUAAGGUGGGAGAAAUCAAUGGCUUGUGACCAAUUCUCUUGAAUCUGUGGCCUAUGAAUAUUGAUUUGUUACCUAUGCAAUAUAAUCUAUGACUUGUAAACUCUUACUCGUGGCAUGCAACAUAAGAACUGAUUUGUACACUUGAAUCUGUGACAUAUUAUCACUGUACAAUGACAUGUGACAUAUGAUGCAAGACUUAUUGAUAUUGAUAUAUGAUCUAUACAAUAUGACCUAUAACCUAUAAUAUGCAAACAUGAUCAAUGAGUAAUUCUAUUUGAUAUGUGACAUGUAGACAUUUAUUUGUGAACAAUGCAUAAUAUGAUCUAUGCCAUGUAAACACUGAUGUGUUACCUAUUACAUAUGAUCUGUGACUUGUUGACGUUGAUCUGUGACCUAUACAAUGUGACUCGUGAACUAUGAUCUGUGACCAAUUUUGUUUGAUUUGUGACCUAUGCACCAUGACUUAUAAAUUGGUACUUGUGCCCUAAGACAUGUAAAAAGUACCUAUUGAACAUUGACAACUAAAUUAUGACCUGUAACAAAGGACCUAUGAUCUACGCAAAUGAGUAUGCGACCAAUAGCAUUUAAUAAUUCAAAUAACUUAUCUAUACCAAUAAAAAUCAUCCCAAAACCUCACCACCACCACAUUUGUAGAACACCACAACCUUACAACUACCACCAUUUGCAGAAUACUAACAACCAAUAAAAUUCAUCUCAAAACAUCGACUAUGUAGCGUAUCUAAAAAUCACCUCAAAAACCACCACAAAACUACUCAUUCCCCCUCCCACCAACCCCAUCACUCAUAAAUUUAAAAAUAACAAAAAAUCAUCCCCUCGGGGCAUUGCCUAGGAAUUAGACUUCUUGUAGGCGCAGUGUACAUGUAACUCUUAUUUCCUGUCAUACAGGAACACAUCCCGCAAUUUACCUCUCUUAUAAAGCUCUAGGGGCGGGUCGUGGGGGCAACCCCAACUUUUUUUUUUUUUUUUUAAAUAACAAAAAAUCAAGUGAAUGCAAAAAGGUCACUGCUCUAAGACAAAACCGCCAUUCUGUAAAACAUAAUUUUUAUAUUAAUUUAAUUAUUAAACCCCACCAAGUAAAUAGUAUUGACCGAUUCACCCUCUAAUAAUUACUGCAUAACAAAGCCUUGAACAUCAAAUGGAAAAUACAGAUAAAAACAGUAAUCAUAAAGUUACAGAGAGAAACUAAGAUGAUUUUUUUUAUUUUGGAUUAUCAUAGGAUUUUGGAACGACUUUAGUUCAGGGGUCAAGAAAAAGUCAUCGCUAACGAAGAAAUCGAUAAAAGUAUCAAUGACGGAGGAGAGAAGUGAACGAAGAAUUUGACAACUAAUUUGGUAUUCCAUUGUUUUCGUUAUCAGAAUAAAGAGUAUGAGAGGAAUGGGUAGAGAAGAUAAGAGUGAUUAAGAAGUAGAAGAUAUGACAGAGAGAGAAGAGAUAGUCGAUAUUAAUUUAUAAUAUUAUUUUUAAUAUUAAAUGUAAAAUUAUCAUAUGAUUUUUGUAUAAACAAAUUUUAAAUAUAUAUUUUUUAAUUGUAAUCUUUAAAAAUUUGUGACAAUGUAAUUUCCACUAAACUUUAACUGGCUGGACUGAAAGUUUAAAAGCCUAGAAAGAAGUUUGGCCCAAUAUAUCGAGCUAUUUGAAGUUUUGUCCAAAGGGUUAUUCUUCUUGGCCCUGUCCAUAUAACAUAACUCUUGUCCAAGUAUAAUCCUUUUUAAGAACAAAUUACUCGCUAGCACAACAAAACGAUUUUUCUCCUUAAAUGAUUUAUAAUAGUAAGUAAUUUUUUUUUGAAGCCACUAAAAGGAUGACCAUUCAAUCAUUAAGGGUCCGUUUGAUUGCAAAAAUGAAAUUUGAAUGGAAAGAAAACGUAUUUUAGGGAACUGAAUUGCUUAAAAAUUAUUUUUAUGGGAAUUGCAAAUUAUUGCAUUUGAUUGGUAAAAGUUUCCACAUGGAAAAUGUUGAAAUAAAAGUGUUUUUUUGUGUCCGUUUAGCUUUUUUUACAUGAAAUUUGUCAAUUAAAAUGAUAGAAUUUACUGGUAUUGGAAUUGAAAUUUGUUUCCAUUAUAAAAAAUAAUAAAAAAAAAUCAAGAAAAUUAUCUAUCUUUUAACAUUCUUUUGGCUUUGUUUUACAUGAAAAUUAUCAAUUAAAGGAAAGUAUUUUUUUUACAAUAAUUCUUAAAAUUUGUUUUCAUGCAAUGUGUGUGUAUAUAUAUAAUAAUAAUAAAAUCGAAAAAAAAAUUAAAAAGUGCUACAGUAAUCGAAAAUUCAAAUUCUUACCAUUUUGGUGAGAAUUGGAAUUCCUUGAAUUGAUGGAAAAUGCUGACAUGGCAAAAAGGUGGAAAUUUCAAUUCUAGGUAAAAUUUUGGACAAUCAAACUGCUAAAAGUUGAAAAAUGGAAUCCAAAUUUCAUUUUCUAUGGAAAAAAUGGUGGAAUUAAACACUACCUAAGAAAAAAAUAUACCUAUUCUUCGCAAAUGUCAUCUCUUAAUAAACCCCUUCAUCCCUUCUAACACAUCUUUAGUAGCAAGAAAUGAAUUCUUAACUACUAAAGUUGCACAAAAGCCCCCAUUUGAUAAUCAUUACUGGGCAAAAAUAUUGUUUUGAAUAGUGAUUUAUAAAAGAAUGCAUAGUUAAAAAGUAAGAAAAAAUUUUAAAUUUAUGUAUAAAAGAUUUUGUUAAGUAAAUGUAUGAUUAAAAAUGAGUAUGUAAAAAAAGAGUUUUUAAAUAAUAGUUGUCAAACAUGGGCUUGGUCUAAAAGUAAUGGAGCUUACUUCGAAAUAAGAAUGGGUAAUUAGAUGGACUUGACAUGAAAAAAUUGCAUCAAAUGUUUUCAAUAUAGUGCAUGUUUGGUACAAUUUUUUAAUCGUUAUUUUACUAUUCAAAUCGUCAUUUUUUACUUCUUCUCCCAUAAGUAAGACUUAUUUUUCUCUCCAACGAUCAAAAAAUCAAUUAUCAAAAUUACUACCGAACAAGCCCAUAAUUGUGUAAGUAGCAAACUUGUCACAAAACAUAAAAAUCAAAACAUAAGUUAGUUAAUCAAAUUAGAGUUAUAACUUUACUAUCCGCUUUCAACAAUGGAAAACGAUCUAAAUUACUAUUAUGUCUUCACUUUUUGCGUGACCUUAGCUCCAUUAAAUAAGCACGCCAUGAGAACCAAAUGAGAUUUGGAUGAUUUACAUGACGGGAUCAACUUCCUUCACCAUUAUAACUAUUGAGUACACCUUUGUAUUCAGACUAUAAGUUGAGGACUAUUUGUGCAAUUUUUCUGAGUCAGUAUACUCUGACGGUCACAAGCUUAUCUUGUACGCUACAAGGGCCAUACAACGAUGAACUGACGAAAAUACCCUCGUUUUUAAAUUUAGGAGCGUUGGAGCGGAGUCAGAGAGGUUCCAAACCAGAGUUUGAAAAUUUUAACGGCUAUAUUCAACCUGCUCCUUUGGUACACCAACUCUGCUGUAUCAAUUAGAAUUAUAGUGACAAAUUUUCAAAUAUACAAUUAAAUUUCUGGAAUCAAAUUCUUGUUACUUCGUAGAGGCCGAUUAUUUCACGUUCUUGCCUGUUUGUCGAUUGCUUUGAGGUUUGGCGGUGCAAAUUAAACCUAUUAGUCCUUUGUUAUUUUUCAAUGGCCUCAGUAAUGGCAGACCCAGAUCCUGUAAAAGUUAGCAAGGGCUCAAUUCCGUCGACAAAAGUCAGAAUAAUUGGGAAAAUCAAGGGUUUCACAGACCAGGAAUCUCAAUCUCUGAACCAAGAUUCGAAAAAAUGGAUCACUGUUAAGAAAUCGCAAGAAAACGAUUCCUCUAGUAAAGUUAUGGUUUCUUUUGAAUCUCAAUCAACCAGGUAAGUUUCUUUUCCAUAUCAUCAGUAGCCGGUAGGUUUGAUUCUACUUCUACACCUGGUUUUAUUUUUCAUUGUCAUGUAAUAUCAAGAUUUUCUCUGGAAAUAUUAAUUUGCCUCAUUUUUUUCAACCCAGAAAUUGAAUUAACGUUGGUGAUUUUUGCAUAAUUGUCCUUCGUGCAUAUCAAUUUUGUGCUCGAGCAAAGAAUCCUUGAAUCACUGUUUUGACCUUCUGGUAUUGAAUUCUUUUGGUAAUUUCUAUUUAAGGGUGUUUUUCUUUUAUUCUAACUUCUAGAGAAGAAUUAGAGAUUUGGUGUUUGAUAUGAUUAGUUCUGAAAUUUUGCACCAUUCGUGACUGGGAAAUUAUUUUUUUAUCCGGAUAAUUCACGGACUAAUAAUUAUAUUCUAGCUUGUGUUCUUAUGCAAUUUAACUGGGCAUCUAGAAUGUUUAGGAAAAGAAACUUUGAUCUUAAGACGUUUCAGUUUCAUAGUUCUGGAUGGACCUAAUUUUAUUUUUCUUGUCAUGUAUUAGCCGCAAGGAUCCCUACGAACUGGACUAUUGCUAUGAGCAAGAUGAAGAUAUUGACCUGAUAUAUUUGAGAGAAAUACGGCCCAUGGUUUUAGAGGUCUUGGAUGGUGGAAAUGCAUCUGUCAUUGCUCUUGGGGCAAGAGGAAGUGGGAAAACUUGCACAAUCCAGGUGCUUUUUUAUACCUCUUUUUCAUUUUCUUCUUUUAUAACUGGAGAGAACAUUGUAUUCUUAUUUUGUUGUUUGGAUCCAUUGAAGGGCUCUCAAGGAAAGCCAGGUUUAGCAGUAAUGGCAAUGUCUGAAAUUCUUUCAAAAGCAAUGAAAUUUGGGAAGUCAGUCUCUGUAUCUCUGUACGAGGUGAUACAAGAACAUGCUUAUGAUCUUUUAGAUCCUAAACAUCCAGAGGUUCAAAUACUAGAAGGUGCUCAGGGUAAAAUCCAUUUUAAAGGACUUUCUCAGGCAAGCAAAUAUGUUUUUCAGAAAAAAUAAAUAAUAAUAAUAAAAUUUAGAGUUCUCUGUAGUAGAGGACUUAGCAUGUAGUUUUCUUUUAUAUCUGUUCAUGGUACAUUCUUAAUGUUGUUCUCUUCUAGGUCGAUGUGAAAUCUAUUCAAGAAUUCCACAAUAUAUACUUCAGUCGAGGUAGUUUUCAAAAGUCUGUGCAAAAGAUACCAACAGAGAAAACGCGGUGCCACAAAGGCUUGAUGAUACACGUAUCAUCUGAAGAUGACAAUCUGAAAGCCAAGUUAACAAGCAAGAUGAAUUUUAUUGAUUUAGCAGGUUUUCAACCCGUGAAACUUUCAACAGGAUUUUAGCUUGUGUUGUUACAUUCAUACUUCUAAAGACUUGACGUUACAAUUGUUUUUUUGUGUAUCAGACUAUGAAGAUCCUAGAAGAAAUAUUAAAGAUGGAACCAUAUUUACUGAGAGUAGUAGGACUAAUAAGUCACUUUAUACCUUAUUGAACGUUGUCUAUGCCCUUAAUGCCAAUGAGAAACGUGUGCCAUAUCGAGAAAGCAAGCUAACUCGAAUAUUACAAGACUCCCUUGGUGGCACAAGUCAUGCAAUGAUGCUUAUGUGCUUGGUACAUGUUUUAUGCUUUAUAAGUUUCAUGUUACUGUUUUGUCUCUAUGUUCCUAGAUUCUGAAAUUAUUAACUUUGAUGGAUCUUUUUAAUUCUUUUCAUCCCUAUUCAAUGCAGAACCCUUCCUUUUGCCAAGACACUGUUUGCGCAAUAAGUUUAGUUUCUCUGUCACGCCGAAAUACCAAGCAAGUUUCGAUAGACUCCACAAACAGAAGUCGAAGUUCAGCCAAAGUGAAGAUGCCUUUGUCAAUAAAGAGUGGGAAGACACCAUCUACUUCCUUGACCAUGAAAAAACAGAUUGCCUCCAGUAUGCUCUCGUCGACAAAGGAGAACAGUAGCAUCUUGAGAGGAAGGUAAAACUAUUUUCAUCUCAUAUUCGAAUCUAAGUUAAAGCCUGUUCAAAAUUGCAUUUUACUAAUUCUCUCUCUUUUUACUCUACUGAAGGAAACUCUUUGAUGAAGAAAAAUCAAACAAUUCUAAGCAGGUAUUGUUUAUUAAUUUCUGCAAUCCACUGAGUAAUCAGGUUCUUAUAACACUUUUUCAUUGCUUUUGUCUUUCGUGCAUGUAGAUAUUACGAUAGUGAUUUCUAGACAUCUAAGCACGGAAAACUGUACCAUGUUAUAAACUUUUUGACGGUUUGAAUUUUGUCCAGUUUCUAAAUUACUCAAUUUCGCUUCCACCAAGGGGUAUCAAUGUUUAUUAGUUCAAGCCAAACCCCUACCUAGGCACAUGGGUGGUGUUCGGUUAAAAUAAAAAAGACGGUUACUAAGCACUGAUUCCAUUUAGAUAUAGCUCAUCUAUACUUUAAAAAAAAUGCAGUUGAGAUCCCCACCUGAAGACAUUUUAGCCAGGAAAUCUAAGCUUCUCCAAGUUGUUGAUUCAGAAGUUACAGCCUUUUCCUUGACACAGGUAUUUCGGUUCCCUGAAAAAUUCUUGCAAGGCAUUUACAUAAACAGAUGAACAUGUAUUUUGAAUGAUACAGUCAUUAUCCUUAAGAAUAUUUUUUUGAUGCUGCAAACACAGGAUAAAUAUAUUUCAGAUGUUAGUUUAGCUGUAGAGCCAAUAGAAAACGUAAGAUUUAUUGCUUUUGAAAAUUACAACACCUUUAAAGGACUUGUAGCUCAAUAAAUGGUUCUUUCAUUAUACUUAAGAAUAUUUGUUUGAUGCUGAAAAAACAGGAUAAAUCUAUUCCAGAUGUUAAUUUAGCUGUGGAGCCAAUGGAAAUCGUAAGAUUUAUUGCUUCUGAAAAUUACAACAGCUUCAAAGGACUUGUAGCUCAAUCGAUGUCUUAAUUGCAGGACACUCCAUUGCCAAUUUCUCCAAAUGAUAUGACUAUUGUUCUUGCUGAAAAGGUAAUGACAUAGUUUACUUGUGAACUUUUGAUUGUACUAUUUACAGUAUUGCUUUCAAAAGCCAUUGUGUUAAGGUUUGUUAAAAUGUUAUUCGGAAAUUUUACUUCUACAUGCUAAGGCAUGUUCAUAAGAUGGAUUAGACACUAUGGGACAAUAUUAAGAAAGAAAAAGAAGAUAAAAUCCUGUCAAUUGUAUUGUCAACAUGGUGAACUGCAUACCAAACACGCAUCAAACCAAAAAUACAUUUCACUUCCAUUCCAGUGAAUGAAGAAAGAAUGCAUAAUCCGUACGCUUUUGCUUUUUCAGGAUGUUUCACCAAACAGCAGGAAUGAUAAUCUAGAUGUUUCUCCUGGUAUUACUGCUGAUGCAAAACCUAUAAAAACGUUGAUCUUUCUAUCACUUUCCUUACACAUUAUGCAAUGCUUCAGGUCGCUUGAGAGAGGAAAAUGUACCUUUGAAGAAGAAUGAAGAUGGAGCCCCCUCACUUACUGAAAGACUAAGAGAAAUAUCAAACAAUCUAAGGUCAUUAUCUUCAUCAACACCGUCCAGGGUUAAGUUUUUAGAAAAUGUGGUUACACCAUGUAGCAAUCAUAUAGAUCCAAAAACCCCAGUCAUGCAACGUGCUGUCGAGAUAUACCAUAGUCCUCGGGGUACUUUCAGCAAUCGCAGCUCGGGAGUGAAGGUUUGUGAUACUAUGCACCUUAUUUCCAUGCAACUCAUUGUUGGUCUUGUGCUAAUUAAGUAUUCCUUAUCCUUGGCAGCAUUCUCUUGUACAAGAGUACCUUACAUUUUUGAAUUCUGCUAACAAGUAAGUAAAUCUACCAAACCUUUUCCGAGGUUAUUAUUGACGCCCUUUGUUUCCUGCUUUAAUACAAUCACAACCUUGUAAAAUUUAAAACCACCAAACCUUCAUAUUUGAUUUUCCAACAUUCAUAUGGUAGCAAUUAUAAUAUAAUCCAAUUCUACCAAAUGGUCGGUUUUGGAGCCAAAUGCAGACCUUGAUGGUUCUUAUUUGCUAGAAACGACUCAUGCAGCUUCAAUUUAUCAAGUUGCAGAUAUCAAAGUUGAUAUAUAGUUAACCGGAAAGUGUCAUAAGUAAAUUUCAAGAGUAUUUUGAUUUCAGCUGUUAUUCUAUACUGUUUGGAACAAUAUCAUCAUCAGUUAGGCAAUAUUGAACAUGGAAAACAUAUUCGAUGAUAAUUAGUCAUGACAUGAAAUUCGAGCAUACAUACUUUUAAAGAUUAAUAUGCCGACAAUUAAUGUUCUUGCAACUAAAGUUACAACAGUAAAUCUUUACUUUAGUUUUGGGAUGUAGGUUAAAUUGCAACUGUUAUUUAUGCAAUGUUCUGCAAUGCAUCUACUCAAUUAACUUAUUGUCAUCAAUUAACGUGUCGUGUUGCUCAUAAACAAAUUUUACUGUGUUUUUUUCCUCUAAUUUACAGGGAAGAGCUGAAAGGCCUGAAAGUAAGCCAAUCUUUGAUUUUUUAUCAUUAUCGUAGCAUUUCUUUUGAUUAGAUGAAGUAUCAUAUGAUGUGUUAUACAGGGCAUUGGAGAGAAAAGAGCUAACUACAUUCUUGAACGUCGUGAAGAAACUCCUGAACCAUUCAAGCAAGUAAGAAUUAUAUUCAAGCUACAACUUUGUUGAUUAGGGCCUAUAACUUGUGGAUAGAAAUCACUGUAAGUGCAUUUUUCUCUUGAAAGGACUAAAUCGUCAAAAGAAAUGAAGUUUUUGCCUGAAAUAUUAUGAGCUAGACUAUAGAAUGUGCUGUAAGGGGUUUGAAUUUGCUUAUCUAAUUUUUCUUGACAAACAAACCAGCAGUCAUUUCGCAACUUCUUUGAGAUGAAUAAUCUUUUUUGUGCAAUUCUGAAUGCCAAGUCUCUUUAGGAUUCUUGUUUAGUAUUAACACGAAGAAUGUUUUUACUUCACAGCUCGAUGAUUUGCAAGACAUUGGCCUCUCAGCAAAACAGGUACUUGUUCUGUUGAUCUAGUUUACCAGUAUACUAUUUGUCCAUCUAUCACCUGGUCUGGGAUGGCCUGUUCUUCAAAUUAUUUCAAUUUUAUUUAGUAUUUUCAUUUUUUUCUGUUUUCUUAUGCAGAUUAAAGGAAUGAUGAAACAGGUCGCAGGAGAGCUUUUCAAUUAGUGUACUUAUGUUUGGCAACAUGAAGUUGCCAAUUAUUUGAAUUAAUGAUUUCACCGUUUCUUCUUCUAAUGUGUCUUCUUGGCUCUUGUAAUAUUGCGUGGUUGGUCUACGUACUAAGUUAACGUAAUUUCAUGGAGCAAACUUUCAAGUAAAUUUGUUACUUUUAUUGUUAGUACUUUUAGUCAAAUUGGUUGAGUUCGUUGCAGUUACUUGUAUUUAAAAGCUUUUAUCUCACCGAAUUUAAUUUUUAUUAUUUUUUUUUUAUUUUUUUUUAAAGUUUCAUAAAUGAUAAUUUUAUCGUUCUCACUCACUCAUAUUUAAUAAUUAAUAACUAAUAAAAUUGUUGAUGUCCAUGAAAUAAUGAAUUUUUCGAGAAUGUGUGGAUGUGUGACUGAAAAUAAGAAUGUAGAAAAAAGUUUUAAAUUAAAGGCCAUAUUACUUUAUAUUUAUUAAAUUGUUAUUUGCGAUCUCCUAACAAAUUAUCAUUCUAGAUAGUUUUAUGAGACAUUUGCUACCAAUUGAGUAGUUUGUUACUUUCUCAAGAUUCUCUUAAUCACCUUUCUCACGUAUUUAUCAGAUGCAUUUUCCUGUUUGUGCCACAUGGUGGCCUCCUAUAUUGCUACACGAUUAGUAAGAAAAUUGCACGCUUCCCUUUAGAUAUCCACUUACCUUUAAUGCCUUCAUUUGCUUUAGGCUUGUGUUUCGCGCGGGUUAGUCGCUAACAAUUAAAAAGGAUCAGACGAUUGUGUAAGGGACAAAACCUCUUGAAACAAAGUCCCAAAAAGGGGUGUUUUUUUAUUGACGAUGACUUUACAAUUGGAAAUGAAAAACAACGUGCAUCCAAGGGGCGCAAGCACACGAAUUACUGAAAGAAAAGUGUUUAAAUCUAAAAACUAAGGAAAUGAAAAUUACAUGUUCUCUGUUCGAGAGUUUUGGAUUCGGUCCCUUGCUUCUAUAUCCUUUCUCCCUUUUAUACUUCAUGGACGAUAUCUUUGUGAUCAACCGUCCUAAAAACUGCUUGAUCUUCCUAUAACUGCCCACUUUCUUCGUAAUGGCCAACUUGUCAUGAAAACUGCAUUUUUUAACUGCUGCCAUUACUCUUCAUCGUUCAACCGCUUUCGAUUGAAUUCAUUGAAUCGUGGAACGUGAUGGGGCUGCUUUAAUAACUAUUUUGAUAACUGCACUUCUUGAUAACCACGACGCUUUGUGCUUGUUAAGACUUUGGGCGACUUGAAGGUUUGGGCGAGAAUAGAGUAACAGCUCUGGGUGACUGUAUGACACUCCAUUCGCUCAGAUUAUGGGCGACUUGCAAACUUGGGCGAUGGCAUUACCGCGUUCUUGGGCCUCCCUAUUUGGGCAUUCAUCUUGAUUUGUUUGAUUAGGCUUCGUUCUUUGGGCUAUCUGAUUUGGGGAUCCUUCAAUUGGGCUUCACUCGUUGGGCUGUUCGAUUUGGACUGAAUUUUUACGUGUCAACAAUUACCCCCCAAUAUGGCAGAAUUAAUAAUAAUUAUUAAAUUUUGUCAUACUCACUUUGUGUUUCCAGUAACAUUCGAAACUCCCAAGAAUUUCAAUCAUUGUUUUCUUCUAUAACUUGAAAAGGUGCAUCAUUUUGCAAACCCUUAUAAACCCCAAACACGCCAUUUCACUGCACCAUUAAACCACGCCUCAAAUUAUUUGCGUCUCUCUCACGAUUUACUAUUCACUUUUGCUUCCCUGCUACGUAACCCUGAAAAGCUUCAUUCAUUCUCAAAUGGCUGCUUCACAAUCUCAAGCUAGCGACUCCUUUAGUUUUGAUGACUUUCAGAAACUCUAAGUCGCCCAUACAUAACUCCGAGUUUUCUCGCACCCGCCGAUGUUGAACGUAAUGAGUUCUACUUGGGUCCUUUAUUCAACAAUGCAGAGGCAGUUGAACAAGUGGCGAUGGGUCAGCUGUUUCCUUGCACCCAAGGCCCUCCAUUUCUGAACUCUCUACCGCUAGGGCCACUUCGCGAAAGAGGUAUUCGCACUUGGCCUAAAUCUGAUGUAGCUUUCCGUAGGUGGCAUGCUCGCCUUGUGGGUCAUGGUCCUAUUAAGGCACUUUUUGAUAGCGCUAGGAUUUCUGAUUUGUUAGAAAUCUCCAUUCGCCCCCUACUUUUGAUUCAGCACUCUUUCCGAUGGCUUUGAGUUUUUGGUCCCCUGAGUAUAAUACCUUUAUUUUCCCUCUUGACCCCAUGUCUAUCACCUUAAGGGAUGUUGGGGGCCCUGGUGAAUCUACCACCUUUGGGCGAUACCAUUUUUCCUGGUAUCUUAGUUUCUAGUGGCGCCCCAAAGUUUGGUAAAAACUACACCGAUUCUUAUUCAAGCCUGCAAACUAUUCACAAUCAUUCGAGCGCUGAGCCUUCCCAUACUGAGCGAAUGGCCUUCCUUCUAUUUUGGCUUUGUAAAUACGUUUUGUGUGUGCCAAACAUAAAGCCCUCCCUGAGUUAUUUACCUAUAGCGCACGAAUUGGCGCGUGGUAGGCCUUUGAAUUUAUAUUCUUUGUUUUUGGCUACCCUUUAUAGAGGCAUGGUCUCUCUUCAAACUCAAUUGAAGAAUAGUGCAUCUCCCACUGGCAGUGGACUUCUUUGGUUCACUCAACUGUGGUUGAGAUCCUAUUUUCCAUUGCUUGGUGCUCCAUCAAUCUUUCGCUCCUCUGCUAGCUGUUAUGGGCUAGUCAUGAGCCCUUAACUCCUGUAAAUAUGUCCAGAAGGGAUAUUUUUUCAUUCUUUUAUUCUUUGGAUUCAAUCCCUUCCUUUUUUCCUUUUCCUCCUUUUUUGACUCCAAACUAUGUACAUCCCCCUUCCACUAUAGAUAGCGCGAGCACCUCCCUGCUCAUUUGGAUCUAGUUUUUAACAGGGAGGGAGCUAUUUCAUGAUAUUCUAACUGGGACCAAUGCCAAGGCGGGGGUAGAAAUUUAUGCUCCCCAAUUCUUUGCUCGUCAGCUUGGUUUUGGCCAAACUUGGCCUGUUCCUCCUUGCUAUUCAAGGAACUUAGUUGACCAUUUUUAUACCAUUAAUAAGUCUGAGGCAGAGGCUAUAGAUGCUCGUAAUCUUCUUUUAACCAGCCAUUUUUCAUUAACCCCUUUCAACUCCAGCCACGCCAUUUACCCUCUUUUUGAACAACUCUGGCCGUCGGUGAAGCGCAGAUUAUUUGCGACUGACGCCAAUCGUGCCUUUCAUUCAUUAGACUAACCGAGCAUUUCUUCUCCUCCUCCUAUUUUGGUCACUCCUUUGUCCUUUCGGAGUCCUUCUCCUUCUUGUCGCACUAAACAGUCUGCUCGUUCAUCUUCUUCUCUCCCUGCCUAGCCUACUACAGCCAAGAGUGCUCCAAGCCGCAAAUGGCUAGCCUCAGCAUCUCCCAUUCUGGAGGAUGAUGUUGAUGAUGAUGAUGAUGCCCCUCUUAUCGUCAGGAGGAAGGUAAUUAAAUUGGUUUACUUACAAGUAUACUUUUCCACACUUGAAACUUUUCUGUGUGCUGAUGAUCUUUUGAACUUCUCAGAAAAGCUCAGUCUCUCCUUCAAAGGCUUUGGCAUCGACAGCUCCUGCUCUAUCAUCUUCUGCUGAGGCUACUUCAUCCAAACCGGUUGAUGAGGGGGCUACGCUUAAAGAGACAUCUUCAGUCCUAGAAUCCUCAUCACAACCUAUGGAUGAGCCACCUUCUUCCCAGGGCGUCAACCCCCUAAACAUCGAAGCAGAAGGUAAUUUAGUUUUUUGAUGUCUUACCUUUGCUUGUGCUGUUGGUCUUUGAUUCGUUGGUCUUGAGUUUUGCAGAUACUCCUAUGAGUCCGCCUGUUGUGGCAACAUCUUCUCGCUUAGAUAAGGGGAAGUCCUCACGAAUGGAGGAGUAGUUGGUGGCAGACUUGGUUGAGGGCAUGCCAUCUUCCACGAUUGUUGAUAAGGUAGUCUUUGCUUCUCUUCUAUUUCUAUUUUGUUCAUUGUAGUGAGCAUCUUUAAUAUUCGCAAUUUUCUUUGCAGGAUGCUGACAGGAUUGUGCGUUCUAUCCAUGACUUGUUCGCUUCCUGGGGGCAAGUCCAAACGUCUCGCCCUGCUCCAUCUGAUCGUCAUGCUACUUCUUCAGAGGAAGAUCUGAAGUUCCUCAAGGAGUCGAUAUUUGAAUACGUAUCCUUCAUGGACAUGGAUAUUGGAAGGGUUAGUGCUGCCAGACACAAGGAUAAACUUGAGCACUUUCUAUUUUGUUCAUUGUAGUGAGCAUCUUUAAUAUUCGCAAUUUUCUUUGCAGGAUGCUGACAGGAUUGUGCGUUCUAUCCAAGACUUGUUCGCUUCCUGGGGGCAAGUCGAGACGUCUCGCCCUACUCCAUCUGAUCGUCAUGCUACUUCUUCAGAGGAAGAUCUGAAGUUCCUCAAGGAGUCGAUAUUUGAAUACGUAUCCUUCAUGGACAUGGAUAUUGGAAGGGCUAGUGUUGCUAGACACAAGGAUAAACUUGAGCACUUGAAUGCGAAGUUGGAGCAAGCACUGACGCUUCUUUCGAGUCGUAGCUGAGAAAGAGUCCUUGCGUAUGGAGAUUAACAAGGCUGAGGACGAGUUGAAAGAAAUCUCUUCCGAGGUCACGAUUGAAGACUCCUUGAUGGUUAACUUGGUUGCUCAGAUGAAGGAACUUCAAGCCAAAAUGGACGACUGCAGGGCGAGAAUGACUGCUAAAAAGCGCAACGCCUCCCAGGGAAUUGAGCGAACUAAGUCCUUGGUCGAGUAGUACAAGAAGUUAGAAGUUAAUGAUGAUGUCGCGGCUGAAUCUGAGAAAGAGUCCUUGCGUAUGGAGAUUAACAAGGCUGAGGACGAGUUGAAAGAAAUCUCUUCCGAGGUCAUGGUUGAAGACUCCUUGAUGGUUAACUUGGUUGCUCAGAUGAAGGAACUUCAAGCCAAAAUGGAUGACUGCAGGGCGAGAAUGACUGCUAAAAAGCGCAACGCCUCCCAGGGAAUUGAGCGAACUAAGUCCUUGGUCGAGCAGUACAAGAAGUUAGAAGUUAAUGAUGAUGUCGCGGCUGAAUUGAACAUCACUUCCUCUCGGCAGAACGAGGAUUGGGAAAAACUUAGGGAACGAAUUCGUUGGGUAUGGGGUGGACUGUAAUUAAGACAUAUGAUAAAUUUUUCCCUUUGUAAUUUUGUUCAUCAUUAAUGAACAUUAACUUCUUGUGCAUUCAUUUGACGUUUUUUUUAGUCGUCAAUUCUUUAAGCACUUAACUGCUUUGUGCUAAAAAUCUUGUCCAUUUUCUUUUGAUAUUUCCACCACCUUUCCCAAGACCUUGGGCUGUUUAAUUUCGUUUAUUAGGCAGAAAUGUAGCUGUUCAUAUUCUGUCUCUUCAUCUUCACCCCCCUAUAAAUGCUUCGCAUUUUCCAUCUUCUAUCUUCAUCUCUUCAUUUUCUUCUUCAAAACUAAUUUGCUGCCAUUACUUGGCAUUCUGACGAUCAAUCCAAUCCAAAAUGGACUGUUUAGUCCGUCCACCUUACUAUUUACCUUGAUGUCACCUUUGGUGUGAGAGGUAUAGGAAAUAUUUUCUGGCCAACAACAAAGCUUUUACCAUCAAAAUUCUUCCAAUCGUCUCUUUGUCCUUUACAAGGAGUCGAUGAUAGAAGGCAAUUUUUGGGCUGCUUGCGGGCCACUUUGCUUGCUGAGAGUGCUUCUCAGCUUGCCUGCUGAGAGUGUUUCUCAGCCUCUUUGCUCGCCAUUGCAGCGAUGCAUUUAGGAAGGUGGUGAGGCCAGUACACCCUCUUACUCAGCUAUCCCACUAUUGCAGCGAUGCAUUUAGGAAGGCGGUGUAAGGCUUACUCAGCGAUCAACCGGGAGAUUAUCUUACUUUAGUUGUAUUUUGUAGAACAUCCAUUAUUUGUAUUUUUGUAUUCUUGUAAUGAACGUUUGAUGAUAAAGGAUUUCAUUUGAACGUAUUUCGCUCUGAUCUUGUUAUCUUUUAAUCGUUCAAAAUGUUUGAUUAUGUUUUUAUCUGUUCACAUUCCCAUAAAGAAGGAACAUAUUUUUUCAAAUAUUUGCUGUUAAUGAAUCUCACGUGCUUGGUGCCGUCUAAAUCUUCCAAGUGAUACGCUCCAUUGGGCAACACACUGUUUAUUUUGUAUGGUCCUUCCCAAUUGGGCGACCACUUCCCGUACUUUGGAUCCUUGCUAUCCAAAGGGAGUAUCGUCUUCCAAACUAGUUCACCUAGGCUGAACGACUUGGCUAUGACUUUUUUAUUAUAAAACUUAGCCAUUCUUUACUUUUGAACUUGCAAUCUAUCUAAAACGUCCAACUUUAAUUCGUCUAAACUCAAUAAAUUUUAAACUAGUGAUUCGACAUACUCAUCAUCAUUCAACUUAUGUUGCAAGCACACUCUAAUCGAUUGCACGUUGAUUUCCAUAGGCAAAACGGCCUCCUGUCCAUAAACAAGUUGGAAAGGCGUAACUUUGAUACUUGACCGAGGUGAUGUUCUAUAAGCCCAUAAGGCCUUGUUCAGACAUUCGUGCCAAUUUCUGGCAUUUUCAUCUAUCAUCUUUCUGAUAAUAUUUUUUAGAAUCUUAUUAGAAGAUUCCGCUUGUCCAUUGGAUUGAGCGUAGUAUGGUGUGUAGUUUACUAAUUUAACCCCAAACUCGCUCAAAAAUUUGUUCACUUGAUCCCCAUUCAAAGAUGUUCCGUGAUCUACCAUUAACGUUUGUGGAAUUCCAAACCUAUAAAUAAUGUGAUCACGGAUAAACUCUAUAACAUUCUUCUGGGUGAUCUCUUUCAAAGGUACCGCCUCUACCCAUUUGGUGAAAUAGUCGGUUGCAACUAUAACAAAAGUAUGUUGCUUGGACGAUGGGGGAUAAAUCUUCCCUAUCAGAUCUAUCGCCCAACCCUUGAAUGGUCAAGGUUUAAUAAUAGGUGCCAUCUCUCGUGCUGGCAUCCUUUGUAUUGGACCAUGCUUUUGGCAUGCUAAAACAACUAUUUGCAUAAUGAACGCAUAGUUCUCCCAUCUUUGGCCAAAAAUAUCCACUCCUAAUAAUUAACCACCUCAUCCUUUGGCCAGCUUGAUGAGCUCCACAUAUCCCUUCGUGCACUUCAGCCAUGAUCGUCUUGGGUUCUUGCAAACUUACACACUUUAGUAAUACACCAUCAGAGCGUUUCUUAAACAACUCUUCAUCUAUUAGUGUGUAAUUCAGCAAACAUAACUUCAUUUUCCUACUAAUCCCUCCAUUAAGUUCUUUAAGGAACCCUUUAAUCUCUGUUAUCCAAUCUACUGCAUCUCUAUCUAGUAUGCAGUGAAGUUCAAUUUUUCUCGCCCUUCUUUGAGUCGCGGGCAAUAUGAUUCCAUACUCACAAGUAGACUUCCAAUUCAAGACCUUUGAGUACCCUGAUGCCAUUUGGGCUAACUCAUUUGCCACGUCGUUAUAUAUCCUAUUAACGCAUUGGAGUUCUACUUGAUCGAAUUCUUCUAAUAAUUCUUGGGUGAUCUCGUAUUGACUUAUAAUGGAAUCACUUUGGCAUUUAAAAUCACCGAUCAAUUGAUGGAUCACCAAUUGAGAAACGCCCCUAACAAUAACAUUUCUUACUUCCAUAUCUAUCAUUAGUUUUAGGCCUACAAUCAAGGCUUCAUAUUCGGCUUGAUUGUUGGUGCACAUUCUGUCUAAAGUGCAUGCGAACUUGUAGCAAAUCCUUAAAAGAUUAAUCAAUGCUACUCCUACUCCUGCACCUUUAGAAGUUUUUGAUCCAUCGAAAUACAACACCCAAGGUUUUAACUCGAACGAAUUGAUUUCUAGUUCGAUUUCUUCAGGCAUAUUAAGGCAUGGAUGAUCGGCUAGAAAGUUAGCCAAAGCCUGAUUUUUGACUGCCUUUUGAGGUAUAUAUUGUAUUUCGAAUUCUGAUAAAGUUAGUGUCCAAAGGCCUACCAUUUGGUGUAAAAUAGAGUGCGAGAACAUAUACUUAACUAAAUUUACUUUAGAAAUUAAAUAAAUGGUUACGGGCCGUAAAUAAGCCCUUAAUUUUGUACAUGUGAAAUACAAUGCAAGACAUAAUUUUUCGAUAGCAGAGUAAUUACAUUCACAUUUCGUUAACCGUCUACUUAAAUAGUGAAUUGCCCUUUCUUCACCAAAUUGGUCUUUCUGUGCGAUCAUUCCAGCUAUUGACUCUUUUUCAGCCGAUACAUACACUUUCAUUGGCCGUCCUUGGAUUGGUGACACCAACACUGGUGGACUUGAUAGAUAUGUCUUCAGGCUUUCAAAAGCCUUUUGAUGUUCUUCUUUCCAGACGAAUUCGUCCUGAUUUUUCAGCUUUUAGAGCGGCGAAAAGACUUUAGUUCGCCCUGCACAGUUAGAAAUAAAGCGUCUUAAAAAGUUUACUUGGCCUAAAAACCUUUGCAAUUCUUUUUUGUUGCUAGGUGGUUUGGCCUCUAAAAUGGCCUUCGCUUUAUUUUUAUCAAGUUCAAUCCCUCUCUUGUGUACUAAGAAACCAAGAAAAUUCCUUGCAUUAACACCGAAUGCACACUUCAAGGGAUUCAACUUUAGCUUAUAUUGCCUCAUUCGCUCAAACGAACAUCUUAACUAUUCGAAGUGGUCCUCUUCUUUAAUGGAUUUGACUACUAUGUCAUCUACAUACACUUCAACAAACUUGCCUAUCAUAUCAUGAAAGAUUAAAUUCAUUGCCCUUUGAUAAGUUGCCCCUGCAUUUUUUAGGCCGAAAGGCAUAACCACCCAUUCGAAACAUCCUAGAGACCCAGGGCAUCUAAAAGCAGUUUUGUGUAUGUCUUCUUCAGCUAUGUAAAUUUGAUUGUAUCCUGAAUACCCAUCCAUGAAAGAAUACAUGACAUGUCCGGCAGUCGAAUCUACUAAAGAAUCCACCGUGGGCAUUGGAUACUCAUCUUUGGGUGUAGCUAAGUUUAAAUUCCCAAAGUCUAUACACACCCUUAAUUUACCAUUCUUUUUUAGUACUGGCACGAUAUUCAACAACCAUUCAACAUAUCUGGUUGUUCUUAUAAAACCUGCUUUCAAUAAUCGCUCUAUCUCUUUCUUGAUUUCAGGGAGUACAUUGGGAGCAAAACGUCUAUGAGGCUGCCUAUGAGGUUUAAAAUUAGGCUUAGUUGGUAACCUAUGUUCCACCAAGUCUCUAUCUAAAUCAGGUAUUUGUUCAUAUUCCCAAGCAAAACAAUCUUUGUACUCUUUUAGCAAAGCGAUUAAUUUAUUACUAACCUCUUGAUCGAGCAUCUGGCUGAUGAAUGUUGGACGAUCUUCUCCUUCAUUGCCAAUAUUUACUUUGAUCAGAGGGUCUUGUGCUUGAGCGUAUCCAGGUUUGGCAAUCCACAUCACUUCGUCGUCCAAUUCCCUUGUAAGUACUUCCUCUUCUAAACAGUUCACCUUGUUGACUUCUCGGCCAAUGCUUUGCUCUAACUCGAAUACUGCCAACUUGUCCUUCAGCGCUUUUAGGGCAGUCUCUUCCUUCGUCUUGUCAUUGCAUUUCUUAUUGAAAGCCAUCAGUCUGGCUUUGAAGGCCUGAAUGUCGGCCAUUUGCUUUCGUAACUCAGAAUCCAUUCAAGAUUCCUUGAUUAUUCUCUUGCCAAUCACUUGCUCUUUCAGGGCCACUAUAUUUGGCCUCAUCUGUUUGAACAUCUCAGUGAGUGCAUCCACUGAGAACGAUUCUUCGCUUUGUACGACAACUUGAGUUUCUUUCCCGUCUUGUACUACCCUGACAGGUCCAUAAUUUCCUUCGUACAUGAACUUUUCCACCAAGUUUGCUUCUGCGACAAAAGGCCUAUGAUCGGCCUGUACCACCUCAACUUCGCCUUUGUCAUUCCAAAAGAUCAGGCAUUGAUGGAGCGAUGAGGGUAUACAGCGACUUCCGUGUAUCCAAUCUCUUCCUAGUAGCACGUUGUAACUAGUAGGACCGUCUAUUACAAAGAAAACCGUGGUCCUAGUAGUUGUCCCUAUAGUUAUGUCCAAUGGCAUAACUCCCUUAGCCGAAGUUGGUCCUCCAUUGAAGCUAGUGAGGAUUACUUCUGUAGGAAUCAUGUCACCCUCUGUCUUUGCGAACUUCCUCAUCAUCCUAGAUGGAAUGGUGUUUAUAGCUGCUCCAUUGUCGACAAGCACUUUUGCCACUGGGACGCCGUUAACUAGAGCUUUAACGUAUAAUGGCCUCAAGUGUUUAGUCAAUUUCAUGGCUGGCCGUUUAAAAAUAACCUUUUCGGCAGCCUCUCUUUGCACUUCCUGCUUGUUUUCUGCCGAAUUAUCCCCCUGUGAUAAGUCGACGUGCAGUAUAUCACGCUGAUCCUCUGUCUCCUGAAAUUCCUUCCUACUUCUUUCUAAUGCUUCCUCAUCAGUUAUCCAACCUGUUGGAGGGGGCAUUAUUCUUGGAGGUGACCCAUACUUUUCAGAGCGAGGCACUCUCUUCUUCCUUUUGGGUGUCCCGUACAGUACGUAGAAAUCGAAAGGAUGCCCAGAUGGUUCUCCCAACAAGUCUACUUCACGAACUCCCUCUUGAUAUAGUUGCUUAAACAGAGUAUUGCGCAAUACUCCUCUCUUUCUUCUUUCUGCUUCUAGAUCGAUUUCUUCUUCAAUGUCUGUCAUCCCAUCGUCCUCCUCAUCGUUGUAGGCCUCUCUAGAAGUCUGGCCUUCUUCACAUACCAACACGCAAGCUUCUCCUUCGUUGUCCUCCAUCUCUUCUUCCUUUUCUUUAUUCUUGAAUUCAUUGGCCAGUAGGUAAUUAUUGGCCACGACAGGAGGCAACGUACCGAAUUGGAUAGCAAGGGACUGAACUGGAUCUUCUUCAUCCCUUUUGUCUCGCUCAAACCUUGACCUCCCAGAAGAGGUUUCUGGCAGUUCCUUCAUUGAUUCAUCUGUACCGGUCUCUUUACUACCUUUGAGGACGUUUUGAUUGGUUACCUCGAGUAGUUUAGGCGCUUUAGGAUGUGGCACUCCCUGUUGCUGCCUCAUCAUCCGUCCGUAGUUUCGUUGGAAACGCCUUUGUUGUGUCCUAGUCAUCUCAUCGAAAGGUAUUGCCAUUCCUGCAUUGUACUGGAAUGAAUGCCAUACAUUUGGCCGGCGAGGUUACGGCCUGAAUGUUCUUCCAUUCUCUGCUGGCCUGAACUGCCUCUCAAAAGGCGGUCCUCUAUAGAAUGAUGUACCUAACCCUCUACUAGGCUGAGUGUUUGGAAAGAAGGUAGGGCGAUAAGGAUGCUGCCAUGUCCCUGGUUUCUCUAUAUUUCCAUUCACUUCUCUUUUACACCUUGCACACACGACGUCUUCGUCCUUUUUUGGUUCUUUCCCCUCGAUUCGUUCAAAGACGCUGGGAUGUGGUCUAGGAUCUUCUUCUCCUUCAUCUAUGACCAACUUGAAUUUUGGCAACUUGUUCUUAAAUCCAGAUGUCAUCAUGUUUAUUCCAAGUGGCUGUGGGAAAGAAUUUUCGUCCACUGCCAUCUUCUUCUUAUCAUCAAACGUAAUUCGUCUUGAUUCAAUGGCAUCCUGCAAUACAUGGCGGAAAACCAAGCAAUUGUUAGUCAAAUGUGACCAUGCAUUAUGCCACUUACAAUAUUUUUUACCCUUAAUUUGUUCAGAGUUUGGCAAUUUGUGCUUAUCGCUCAAUUUUAUCUGCUUAUCCCUAUAUAAUUUAUCAAAUAUAAUUUAUCAAAUAUAAGGUCAGCUUUGGUUAUGUUGAAUGAGAACGUUCUAACCUUUAUGUUUCCAUCUUUUAUAGGCUCAUCUUUGCCCGAUGGUCUAGGCUUGGCCAUUAUAGGACAAGUAUAAGUAUCCCCUUUGACCAAUUCAGCCAAACACAUUUUGGCCUGAUCGUAUGAUUCGUCGUCGAUGGUAUGAACGUCAAAAUUUGGGUCUUUGUAAUAAGUCCCUUUACUAGAAUUUUUCAUUUGUUCUUCCUCUCUUAUCAGUCGCUCAUACCUAAUAACAUUCGCACUCAACUGAAAAAGGUCAGGAAAUUCCUUGUUCUGGAACUUCUUUUUUAAAUCAAAGCUCAAGCAGUCCUGAGCGAUUUUGACAAAUUCUUUUUCGGGCAGAGGUACAAAAAAUUUGCUUCUUGCUGUCUUGAACCUUUGGAGAAAACUUUCUGCCCAUUCGUUUGGCAUUUGACGUAGGUUCGCCAAAUCAGCCAAAGUGACUUCAGACUCAGUUUUAUAAAACUGAGCAUGAAACAGCUGUUCCAAUUGUUGCCAUGUUUGAACAGAGUUCGCUGGCAAGUUGAUGAACCAGGAGAAAGCUACUCCUGUUAAUGAACUAGGGAAAAGUCUCAUUUUAGAGUAAUCGGUUACAUCACCACUUUGCAAUGUGAAUCGCCCUAUGUGUUCUAGAGUAGACACUUCUCCUAAACCGGUAAACAGUGAGAAUUUUGGCACUUUGUACCCUCUAGGCCAUGGAUAUGCUUGGUCUACCCAAUCAGGAUAUGACUUUGAUUACGUCGGCCUAAUGACGGGACGCACCCCAAAAGCCAUCUGAUCCUGUACGAUUUCCAUAAUCUGGUUCCUCAACAUGACAUUGGGAUCAUAUGGAAUUUCUACAGGCUGAUUAACCGGUUGAUUUGCAUGAGGCCUGAUAUUUGGUCCUUGAUUGGCAACAAAAUUACCAUAAUUAGGGCCAUUACCAUUAACCUGAACAUCUGUUCCCUCAUUAACACGUGGGGUCUGCUAUCCAUUGUUUAGGACAUUAUCUCUUAUGUUUGGAUUACCCCCUAAGUAAGGCAUACUACUACCAUUAUUCUGAUUUGGCACUGUAGUACCCCCUUAGUUUGAAGUAGAGGGACCAAAAAGCGGUUCUACCCCUUGAUUCGGAUUUAGGACCGAGGGAUUAUGUCCCACAAUUGUCCUAAUUUGAAAGUGGUUUGUAAGAGGUAUAGCCGUUUGACAUAUUUGGCCUACUAACCUAUUCAUUGUUUCGUUCAACGUCUUUAGUUGUUUGGCCAUGUUGUCAUAGUGUACAUUCCCAUUUUGUGUAAAUCUUUCCAUAUUAUGAAUACUUCGAAGAUUUACCUGUUCAACGACGUCUUGCGUGAGUUCUCCAAGUAAUGCACGCAUGGUUCAAGGACUCAACUCCGUCAUUGGUUCGUAACGACUGUUAUUGCUCUGUUUCUGUCCAUCUGUUCGUGGAGAAGCAUGCUGCUCCUCAUAUCAUUCGAUCACAGACUGGAUUCCUCCCUGACUUGCUGCUUCCUUAUCGGAUCUCUGAGGCAUAUUGUUUCACAUUUUGUACUUUCAACACCUAACACCACUGUCCCACUGGACGUGCCAAAUUGUUUCGCGCGGGUUAGUCGCUAACAAUUAAAAAGGAUCAGACGAUUGUGUAAGGAACAAAACCUCUUGAGACAAAGUCCCAAAAAGGGGUGUUCUUUUAUUGGCGAUGACUUUACAAGUGAAAAUGAAAAACAACGUGCCUCCAAGGAACGCAAGCACACGAGUUACUGAAAGAAAAGUGUUUUAAGUCUAAAAAUUAAGAAAAUGAAAAUUACAUGUUCUCUGUUCGAGAGUUUUGGAUUCGAUCCCUUGCUUCUAUGUCCUUUCUCCCUUUUAUACUUCAUGGACGAUCUCUUUGUGAUCAACCGCCCUAAAAACUGCUUGAUCGUCCUAUAACUGUCCACUUUUUUCGUAAUAGUCAACUUGUCAUGAAAACUGCAUUUUUUAACUGCUGCCAUUACUCUUCAUCGUUCAACCGCUUUCGAUUGAAUUCCUUGAAUCGUGGAACAUGAUGGGGCUGCUUUAAUAACUGCUUUGAUCUUGAUAACCACGACGCUUUAUACUUGUUAAGACUUUGGGCGACUUGAAGGUUUGGGCGAGAAUAGAGUAACAGCUCUGGGGGACUGUAUGACACUCCAUUCGCUCAGAUUCUGGGUGACUUGCAAACUUGGGCGAUGGCGUUACCGCGUUUUUGGGCCUCCCUAUUUGGGCCUUCAUCUUGAUUUGUUUGAUUGGGCUUCGUUUUUUGGGCUAUCUGAUUUGGGGAUCCUUCAAUUGGGUUUCACUCCUUGGGCUGUUCGAUUUGGGCUGAAUUUUUAUGUGUCAACAGCUUGCUAGUAGCUCAACUAUCUCAAGUGCUAGGGUUCGGUUAUGGGACCUCAAUCCUAAAGGUUGUAAGAGCAAAACUUAUUAUGAAUACGUACCAUAGCAGUUGAAGUGAUAAUGAUAAGAUUCUUUCUUAUAUUUCUUGUAAGAUCAUUUUAUGCAACGUGGACUCUCGAAGUAACAUGUUAUAGGUCUUUUUGCUAUGUUCGAGUUGCAUUAAAUGUUUUUUAAUUUUCUAAAUAAAAUUGAAACAUGUUUGUAAGUCAAGUUUAAAAAUAAAUAAUAUCUAUAAUUAACCAUUGACAAGAUUAAGGCCCAAAUUGGUUGGGAUAAAAAUUGGAUUUAUUUUAGAAUUUGAUAAAAGUUGGUAAAAUAUAUGAUUAAAAAAUUGAUAAAAGUUGUUGGUUUCACGAAAUAUCUGGUAAUGAGUUUGAGAGAAAAAUAACUUUUAGAAAAUGAAAGCCAAAUAGAGACUUAAUUUAAAUAAUUUUUUAUCAAGUGAAAAUUCCAAACGAGUAAAUUCUCAACACUUCAUUCAAUUUAAUUAGGAUUGUGCUAGGCCCCCCCUCAAUGUGAGGAGGGUGUAAUCUAUUGUGUUUAUGGUGUACACAUGGAAUAAUCCAUUUAAUUAACAUAUCAAAACAAAAUCCUUAAUAACCUUAAUCAUCCAAGUCCAUUUGUUACAUUCAAAUCUCACAAUUCUUAUAAAUUAUACGAUACUUCCUUUAAGAGAAUGUUUAAAAAUUGUUUAUAAAAAGUUUAAAUUAUAAAUAAAUAAAAAUAAAUUUAUGAAUGUCUCGAAAUUUAUGAAUAAAAAUUGACUUAUUUAUAAAUGAUUUAUAAAUAUGAGUCAAACAUGGUUUUGUUGGUUAAAUAUCAUAAUCAGUAUAGCCAUUCUUCUUACUGUUUUUCCACUAGCAUCAAGAAAAAUUUUAUAAUGUGAAAAUUACACUAAAUGUCAAGUUUUGGGUUUGUAUUUACAGAAAUGUCAUUUUUUAAAAGGGAAUACGAAAUUGUCAUUUUUGAAGAUUUUUGGACAUUUACGCCCCUCUUAAAAAUUUCAAUACCUUGUAUAUCCUUCAUUAAUGAGACAUGACUAGAUGAGAAAUUUGAAUACCAAAUUAGCCUUUCUCUCUUCCAUUAUUGUUCCUCACGUUCUCUCUCUCUCCCCGUUCGGUCUCCCCAUCAUCUGACGGUCAGAGGAAGUCCGGCAGCUGCUGAGCACCUUCGGCGUGAUUAAACGUCGAUCUGCUGCCACGAAGUCGCCGACGCUGAGCCUCCACCCUCGGCGACUACUGUCACUCUAAACCCCUCUCUCUCGCUCUCUCUUUGUCUCUCUUUGUUUACUUAUUUUUUACUUCCUGUUUUAUUGCCAUUACAUUAGGCUAAUUUAAGAUUUUGUUUUUACAGAGUGAUCUAUUGAAGGUCUCUUUAAUGACAAGGCCAAUAUGCCAUUUUCAUUAUGUCAUUUGGUAGGUGAAUAAUAAUGACCACACUUAAUAGAUCACUCUGUAAAAACAAAAUCUUAAAUUAGCCUAAUGUAAUGGCAAUAAAACAGGAAGUAAAAAAUAAGUAAACAAAGAGAGACAAAGAGAGAGCGAGAGAGAGGGGUUUAGAGUGACAGUAGUCGCCGAGGGUGGAGGCUCAGCGUCGGCGACUUCGUGGCAGCAGAUCGACGUUUAAUCACGCCGAAGGUGCUCAGCAGCUGCCGGACUUCCUCUGACCGUCAGAUGAUGGGGAGACCGAACGGGGAGAGAGAGAGAACGUGAGGAACAAUAAUGGAAGAGAGAAAGGCUAAUUUGGUAUUCAAAUUUCUCAUCUAGUCAUGUCUCAUUAAUGAAGGAUAUACAAGGUAUUGAAAUUUUUAAGAGGGGCGUAAAUGUCCAAAAAUCUUCAAAAAUGACAAUUUCGUAUUCCCUUUUAAAAAAUGACAUUUCUGUAAAUACAAACCCAAAACUUGACAUUUAGUGUAAUUUNNNNNNNNNNNNNNNNNNNNNNNNNNNNNNNNNNNNNNNNNNNNNNNNNNNNNNNNNNNNNNNNNNNNNNNNNNNNNNNNNNNNNNNNNNNNNNNNNNNNNNNNNNNNNNNNNNNNNNNNNNNNNNNNNNNNNNNNNNNNNNNNNNNNNNNNNNNNNNNNNNNUCUAUUCAAACACAUACAGAAAUGAGAGAAAAGUGAUGUUGCUCCAUAAGAAUACCAAAUAAACUAUCAAAGGUUAUCUUUCCCCGAAUCUCAAAAUGAAAAAGAAAUUAUUUUCUCACGUUCAUCAUACACGUUAACCCGUGAUCUUACCUCCAUGAUAUUCUGAUGAGAGAGAAACUUAAUGGCAUCAACAAAUAUUUAUUUUAAAACCAGAUGCUCUACUGUUCAUUGACCCUCUGUUUCAAAGAAAUGAAAUUAACUCCUUGCGCCAUAUUCCUAAAUUUAACAUCCGGAGUCUAAGUAAAGGAGAUUGCCAAUCUCUAGAACCUGGCACUGUUUUAUUGGUUAUUUGGGUCUCUCAGAAUUGGGAAUUUAAUAAACUGGAGGCAAUUGGCAAAGCUGCUCAUAUACCAUUAAAUACCAUAUAAAACAUAUGGCUCCCCUAACACAUUAAACAUAUUUCCCACCUCACCACAAUUAUAUUAAAAACUGAGAUAUGUACCUGGAAUUUUGGUAAUUAGAGCUCGAGCUUUCUCAGCAUGCUUUAGCAUAAGAUGGGUACCUCUCCCAGCAUUAUAAUGAUAUUCAUCGUAAAUUAGGAUCAUUUUAGAUAGCGAGUAAGAGAGAUGAAAAUAGAUAAAAACAGUAGUACAAGUCAUUUCACUUGAGCAACAUAUAUCCCACGCUAUUAUACUCCUCCAGCCAGCACUCCUCUUCACAAGCAGCCAACCAUUUUUAAAGUUUUUCAAGUAUAUCUUUUCUACUGAAAGCUUCUUCUUUAACCUUGGAACUAUGCAUCUCCAGUUGUUCCAGUAGGGAAGAAGUAUGUUUUGGGUUAGUAACAACUACUUUAUUGACCACCAACUGUUCUUACUAAUUUUGUACAAUAAAAUAAUUUGCUUGUUAGAUUUAAUGUGGAAUAAGCUUGUGGUUUAGAAAUAUGCAUUACAAAUUGUAUGGGUUUUUAAGGAAACAUAUGCAACUUUAGCAAGUCUGAGGGGGGUUAUACUGUGUAAAUAGGACAAGCACAGGGUUUUAAAUUUCUACAUAUUAGCCGUAAACAACUCAUUCCAUUGGUUCAAAUAUUGGUCUUUUCUUUGCAGUUGCAGUUAUUUUUUGUUUUGUAUGAUCAAAAUAUGUUAAUAACCAGGAAACAUAUUCAAAACAGGAUUUCCCGACAGUUCAUCUAUACAUAAUUGUUUCUCAACUGUCGUACCCGACAGUUAUCCUCUGUAAUUCUCGACAGAUGAACCGUCGACGGAUAAAAUGUCGGGACCGGCAGUUCAGUUCCUGCCUGCCUAGGGCCUACCAGUAGAAAAUGAUAUUUCUAUGUGAUAUGCGUUCAGAUAUAAGUAUUCCUUUUAUUUUUUGCAUGCAACAAUUUAUGAUGUGGAAAUCAUGUUUAAUGUGGGAAUAUCUUCCGUUUCAAUGCUGGGAGGAAGUUUAUAAUGUGGUAUGACGCAAUUUUUUCUUAUUUUGUCUUUGUAGACAUGGAUUUCGAGCCUCUUGUUCUAAAGAAUGCACGCUUGCGGGGCCACGUAUCGCAGAGAAGCAAUCUGCGGUAUAUAAAAAUAGUCGUGGAACAUUUUGACGAGCGACAGCGGGAAGAGUUUCGCAACUCAUGCCUUGGGUUCUUGUCCGAGGUUCCAGAUCUCCAGUUCUCUGCCCAAUUAAUCCAACAACUCGUAUUCUGCUGCAUACAAACAAAGAAGCGGCACGAACUGUGGUUUAAUUUGUAAGGCCACCUCGCUAGGUUCGGAAUUCAAGAAUAUGCCAUUGUGACUGGAUUAAGGUGUGGUCUUCUCCCGAAUGACAAUGUCAUGGACCGAGUUCUUGAGAAGAGGAGACUAAAGGACAAAUACUUUAAACAUGUGGACAAGAUUUCUUGCACCCAACUCGAGCAGACAUUUCUUCGAUCGUCAACGCCUCGAGCCGAUCGGUACAAGCUUGGCCUCGCUUUGAUCAUCGAAGGAGUCUUCAAUGCUCCGGAUAACAACGUUGGUAUCGAUAUGGAGACGUUGUCGAUCGUCGACGAUCUAGACUUGUUCUUUUCGUAUCCUUGGGGUAGAAUCUCUUACGGACGUCUGAUAAAGGGCUUUCGGGGCCGUUGGGCAAGAAAAUUUUUGGAUGCGACGAAGAAGAAGGAGAAGGCGGUUAGCUACACGGUCCACGGCUUUCCCAUUACCAUACAUGUAUCUUUAUUUUACCUACAAAUUAUUUCAAUGCAAAUGUAUUUCGUGGUUUGUUUCGUUCUAAACUGACAUUCCUUUUUUACUCUAACAGAUAUGGGCGUUCGAGGCGGUGCCUGAAAUUGGUGAUCGCUUCGGUGAGCGUCUUGGGGAACGUUCCCCACGGCUUCUCGGCUGGACAUCAACAAAACAGCCGCAGCAGCGUACGUACGACGCUUUCUUCAAGAAUGUACAGGUAAAAAAUUAUGUUACUUCUACGAUCUCAUACCUUGCAUUCGUCAUUGUAGCAUGUGGUUAUUUCGUAACAAAUAUGUUCAUGUUGUAGCUACACGUGUACGCGACACUGCGGCCCACCGAGACUGAGUGUGGGCAACCUCAUAUCGCAACUCUUGUGCCGCUCAAUGAUGAUCCUGUCCCUGCGUUGGAUGACCAUGCUAGGGACAGUGUUGCUCCGCAGUUCCAAGCAGAGCGUAUAGGCACCCCCGAGGGUGAUACUUCUGAGGAGGCCCAUGACGUUGGCGGGACCAGUGGUGAGGAGGAGUUAGGAGCUGAUGAGAGCGGAGAGGAAGAAGGUGGGGACUCGGAGGAGGACGACAGUGAGGAUAGUGAUGGUGAUCGAGUUGGACGAAGUGGACAAACGGGGACUCCCCCCCAGCAUAGAGCUACUUCUCCCAUGGCACCGUCCACCUCUCAUGUACGACCUACUGCAGCGGCUGCAUCAAGUCUCACAGCAGACGAUGUUCAGGGGAUGUUGCUAGAUCAAAGAAUUCUGUUCGAAAUGCGGCUCCGCACUGUGAAGCUCGAACUCAUGCAGCACAUGUCAGAUGAAUUUAAAAACUUGAAGGACUUCAUAUCCACCCUAGUCCCAGCAUUCGGCUCUACAACCACUGCAUGUGCGACUGAUGUCGACCCCGAGCCCAGACAAUCAGGUACUUCACCGUAUGCGUAUUACAGUUCUUUAUGACAAUGUUCACUUUAUCCCUGCUCACUGACAUGUUCUGUACGACAAUUGUUCAUUCAUUGUAGACUACGGAGGCUUUGCAGGCCACCACCCAUCGCCUGACGGUAUCGACAAAGACAUGGGGAUUGACAGGCAAGAGGGGGAUGGUAUGUGCAUUAAUGAAAAACACAUGGAGCCAUGCCUGGACGAGCAGGAUAUGCCACUGGCCACUGGAACCGAAAGUGUGGAAAGUACGUCGGUUACUUUUGAGCAAAUUGAUUAAUUAUCAUUUCAUGUGUUUCGGAAGUUUUGAAAAUUGUUAAAAUUCACUUUCUAUUCGCUGUUUCGUUAUUGUUCUGAAUAGACAUAGCGCACAUUCAGCCGUGCCCGGAGGAUCGCCCCGUGCCAGAGCCCUCUACAAUCGAAGAAGUGCAAGGUAUUGCAUUAUUUUUCACGAUUUCAACAAAUAUUAUUUCAGGCAUUCGAUUAGUUUACAAUUGUUCAUUUGUUGUAGUCGAAGGGGCCCACCACCCAUCGCCUGGCGACUGUGAGAAAGAAAAGGACAUGGUGUCUACUGGAACCAUAAAUUUGCAAGGUAUGUGGGUCAUUUAUGAGGAAAACUUGUAGGUUGUUAUUUCAUGUACUUGGCAUAAUUUGAAAAUUCGUACAUGUAGUUAUACACUGAAAAUAUUUAAUUGUUCUUUUCGACAGACACAGUACACAUUGAGCCAUGCCCUGACAAUGACCUCGUGCUAGCGCUUGUUGCAGUGGAUGAAGUGCAAGGUAUUGCCUUCAUUUCUGACAAUUGAAUUUAAUUUUCAUUUUCAGUUGCUUACGUUGUAACUUUCCCAGUUCCCGCCGAUGUUGCCCGACCAGGACGGGUAGUUACAACAAAUAGACGGAGAUCCGCACGACUGCGACGUCCGGCACCUGCUACUAGGACUCCGUACACGAGGGGGAGCGCAAAGCAAAAACAUUAAUACUUGUGGAUAAAUUGCCGAACAUAGCACGAUGACGGGGUUCAGCAUGCUUUUGUAUUUUGUUUGAUGUAAUUUACGUGGUGAAGGAUGUUAGUUACUUCGCGUUAUAUUGGUGCCUUGUUCAUUCAUUUUUGUAAUUUACAUAUCAGACAGGGUUGGCAAGCUUGGUGACACUUAGAAGCAUUCAUCACAUUUUGCAAUUCCCGUGGUGAAUGCCUUGUCACCGUUUACCGUUGCUGAAAUUAUUAUAGUGUUAGAACUUGCAUUAGUUAUCCGGCUUUAUUAUAUUAUGUCAAUCGUACUUACGGUACUAAGUGCCUUCAUUCAAUGUUCAUCAACGCUCGUACAUUGUAUUGCGCAAAAAAUUAUGUAUGCGUACAUUUAUUCUUCUUCAUUUAUUCUGCAGUUUACCAAAAUUCAAAAUUAUACAAUCUUUACUGCAAUGCACGUUUUCGUCAACUGUCGAGAAGGAAGAAAACAUCUGUCGGGCCCGACAGUUCAACUAGGCGGGCCAUUAAAUUUUAUAACUUCCUUGCGUUUCGAUAAUUGAAAAUGGUGGGAUUGUCCAAUACAAGUGUGUUAGUGUAACAUGCUAUUGUAGAUAUUAUACGUUUCUGAUUUUUUGCAAGUAACAAGUAUUUCCAAUACAUUUAUACUAUCAUAAUGAAUGCAUUACAAGCAUUGUCUAUCAAAUUACAUUUCGUAUGUCAUUAAAGCUGUUGUGAGGCUUCCAUUUUGAAACAGGUAGUUGAUACGAGAUAAUGGGUUCAUCCACCUCUAGCAAUGAAACAUUCAACUCCAAUAUGCAUCCACCCAUACUGGGUUCAUUCGCUGAGUUUCCCAUCGUUUUGUUGUCAGACGAUGAGGAUGUAAGAGUUGAACUGCAUGGUGCCGAGUUUGACGUAAUGUCAAGUGCAGAAUCUAAGUCACUGAACAGCGUUCUCGAUCAAGUCUUCGAGGUUAGGGGCCCGGUCAAGUCACCGUCCGACUCGAAUGAGUGGGUGCCUCAUGUUCCACCUCCAGAUGUAAUUGUCAUUAGUUCAGACGAGUCUAAUGGGAAAAGUGGGGGAGCUUCUUACAUUGUCAAAAGCAGUGCAACUGUGCAAUAAAUGGCCCUUUUGUACGAAAAUAUGUUUACUAUUUUGUGGUAUGGAUGAUUUUGGUCACGUUCUCUGGAUACGUGCAGAAACUGCAUCUCCAUAAUAGGCAACCGCAGUAGUGUAGGUUUUCAAGCCGCUGUUGUUCCCAACUGUCGAGAAUUACAGAGACUAUCUCUCGGGAACGACAUAUGAACUGUCAAGACGUAAUGUUGGUGUUUUGUUUGUUCAGUAUGGUCUCAUGAAAAUCAGUUUUCCAUUUCGACGAACUGUCAGUCGAAGCUAAUGAAACUUCUAUGAUCGGCUAAGUUUAUAGUACGAAAAAGGUAUUCAUCUCAUUCGUGAUAAUGGAACUGUAAUGAUCGGUACUUUGCUUGCGGAACAUAACGACCAAAUUUGCACUGGCAUAUGAUAAUAAUAACAGAUUCAUAAAAUAAGUUCGGAAUGUACAAUGCAUAUUUAAAUUAAGUUUUUCGGGGAUUACAUUUGACAACCACUUUUACAGAUCACGCUUCUUCAAGUGGCUUGUGAUACAAUAGGGUUCGAACAUGUGGUCCGGUUAUGACCAAGUCUCCCACAUCGAGUGCAUUUCCUCAGUUGGGAAGUGGACUAGUAUCUAGCUCGCUUACGUCGCGUCGGUGGUCUACCUGGAGGACGACGUACGGUCGGUGGCAAAAUAUGAGUGCCUAGGAUUUCAUUUGGAACAACCCAAUCCACUUCCCGUGUAACGGGAUAUAUGACUUCCAUAUAGGCACCCCUCCAGUAUUCCGAUGUAUAGUACGGAGAGCAUAGAUCGUAUAAUGACUUACCACUCAGGGUAGCCCCACGAGUUGCAUGAGCACAUGGCAUACGAUUUAGUUGAAACUCACGACAUGUGCACGUGUUAUCGGAGAAGUCCACUAUCUCCGUAUCGUUGGAUAUUCCAACCUGGGUCAAGCUGUUUGUCAACUGAUGGGCUCGAAGCCUAGUACCAGCUUCAAAUGUUGUUUGUAACUCGUUCUCCAUCCUCGACGAUAAUAUAGUACUACAUGCGGUUGCAUUGCUUCGACGUUCGUAAAACCACCUCUGCAUUGUUUUACGAAUGUGCUCGACCAAACACGUGAUUGGCAACGAACGAGCAUGUCUCAGCAUUGAUGGGCUCGAAGAAGCCUAGUACCAGCUUCAAAUGUUUGUAACUCGUUCUCCAUCCUCGACGAUAAUAUAGUACUACAUGCGGUUGCAUUGCUUCGACGUUCGUAAAACCACCUCUGCAUUAUUUUACGAAUGUGCUCGACCAAACACGUGAUUGGCAACGAACGAGCAUGUCUCAGCAUCGAGUUCAAUGAUUCCGCGUUGUUGUUUGUCAUAAUGUUGUAUCGGUCUCCCACGAAUAGUGCUCGUGACCAGAAUGAAAAACCGGCUUUCUCCAAAUACCUGUAACAUCUUUCACUCACCCUACGAAUCUGUCCCAUUAGUCGUUCGAACUCUUCGACCCGAUAAGUCGUAGCAGCUCGUUUGAACAGGAAUAUUGAACUUGCGUUAAAGUGCCGCCGAAUUAGGUUCUUCUCCACAUGCCACAUACAACAACAAUGACGAGACAAAGGAAAUAAGUGAGUAAUAACUCUUUCGAUACUUCUUUUCCUGUCCGAAACAAAUACAAGUUCAUCUGAGUCUCCUAUAAGAUCUUUCAAGUUAGACAUAAACCACAUCCAAGAUCGGUUCGUUUCGGAAUCCACAAUCCCCCACGCUAAGGGAUAAAUCUGUUUGUUUGCAUCUUGGGCAGUUGCCAGUAAAAGUGUACCCUUGUAUGGACCUUUCAAGUAACUACCGUCAACGCAAACUGCGGGCCUCAAGUACUGCAUGUAACCACGAAUGCUUGCACCAAAAGUUAGGAAGAAGUAAUGGAAUCUAUCGCGAGAAUCAAGUUCGAUGUGGGUUAUUCUCACCUAGUACGUGACAGUAUGAAGAUAAUUUCUGAAAACUGUCCUCCGGUGUCCCAUGCAGCAUAUGUAAAGCGGCCACCUUUCCCCUACGUGCCUUGCUGUAACUUAUUUGGACACCGAGCUCACGUUCCAUGUCACGUGCAAUAGUGCUCGGAUCAUACGAUCGGUUCGGAUUAUCCAGUUUUUCGAAAAUAUGCUCAGCAAUUACAGCACUCGUCACAUGUCAUACGCAUUACUGCGAAAGUCAAUGGAACAUGUGUGCACAUUAUUGAAUUUACGGAUCACAAAGAUUGCAGACUGCCUCACAGUAGAAGCACGUAACAUCCACUUGCAACUGCGGUCGGCGCAUACAACGGUUAACAUCUUCAUGCUUGAUCGGCUCACCCGAAAUUGGAACUUGUUUUUCAAAGCAAGUGCACGAAUUUUUGAGUACAACUCUUUCUUGCUGAAGAAUAUUUCCUUUUCAGCAAGAUCGGAUGUAGUCACAGUUCUCAUAAAUUCAUAUCCAUCUGAAUCGUUCGAAUGUGACAAAGAGUGCUCGUCCUCGACGUCAACAGAAUUAGCAGCCUCUAAACUAGGUGAUGGGUUAUCCAAGUUCUCAUCUAAUGGUGCACUCCCGUUAUCAUACUCAUGUGUUUCAAGUACAUUAUUGUUUGAGACACUAUGCAUUCGAUUCACCAAAUCAUGUUCCACAUUUUGCUGAACAUCUACCGCGGCAAACGAAGGAUCUUCAAAAUUCGCGUCCCUUCCCAUGUCAACACUUGGGAGAUCGGAUUCCAAAACAGUAACGCAGAUAGCACUUUCCUUAUGCACUGAUACGUACCAAUUUAAGUCUUCAUUGUCGCAUAUUUCAGCCGGAGGUAUAUUCAAGUUAGGGACUUUGAACUUCAAUUCAAUUUGAGCGCGGGGAUCAAGAAUACCAAGUUUCUCCUUCAACCUUAACAUAAGUUCGGCUACGGUAAUACUUCUUGGCACCAGAAUGAAAGUAGUUUUGUCCCCUCUCCACUUCCAUUCGUCAUCCGCAUGAACAAAAUUUCCCCCAUGCGACACGACGAAUUUCAAAUGAUUAUUCAUACCUGAAAUGUUGGGAUUGCAAUGGUAACAAUUCGGAAUCAAUAUGUUGGCAUUUAAUAGCAUGAAACUCACACUUCAUAAUACGUAAAUCAGUACAAUAACAAAAGUUCAAAUCAAGGUUUUGUAUCGUUUUGAAGUAUCCAAAUUGAAAGUAAUAUUCUAUAACUCGGCAGUUUCGAAAUGUCAGGUUCGACAUCUCAAACGUCUAACCCGACGAUUUGUAAAUGUCGAACUCGACAGUUUAACUAUCGAGAAUGUCGGGAAGCAGACGGCAGUGAAUUUCUGAGGUUUCUUCAACACAUCAUAUUAAGUGUGGUCAUUAUUAUUCACCUACCAAAUGACAUAAUGAAAAUGGCAUAUUGGCCUUAUCAUUAAAGAGACCUUAAUGGUGGUAAUGGAAAAAAUUACUCAAUGGUGAUAAUGACAUUUUAUUAAGGAUUCAAAAAAAAUUAAACAAAUGAAUGCAUAAUACUUUCAAAGUAAUUUCAAAUAAAUAUGCCCAUGUUAUAUUUAAUAUGUACAAAUACAAAGUUAUAAAAGUAAUAUAAAUUAAUUUGUAAUUGCUAACCUCUCAAAGUGGAUAGAAUGCAACACAAAUGUCUUCUUGAUCAAUGAAAAUGAAGAAGAUGGAAAAGAGGUAAAGUUUCUUGUUUUUAUUUCGUUUUCUAAUUUAUUUGGUAAUUUUUUAUUAACAAAAAUUCAUAUUAAUCAAUAAAAUACACAUUUAUCAAUGUUUUCUAUCAAGUCAAUGAUUUUCCUUCACAUCAAGCAUUUAAUGCUAUUAGAAAUGUGUGAUUAACGGUAUUUUGGACUUUGCACCCCAAAAAUGUGACAUUUUUGCUCACAAAAAGUGAAAAUGACAUUUUUUUUUUAACUUUCAUUUCUGGUGACAAUUUUGUACAUUCCCCAAAAAUAAUUCAAUGUUGCUACACGUACAAUUACCCUUACAGCUUGGAUGACAGUGCUGACAUGGAAAAUGGGGGCAAAAAAAAUAAGAAGGAAAACACCAAAAGCAGCCCAACUCGGUCCCCUUUUGAAGACCCUAUUUUCAACCUAAUACCCUAAUCUCACUCCAGCAUUACAAAGACAAAGCUCUCUCACUGCACCACUAUUGCAAAAACGCAUGAAGCUCUCUCACUGCACCACUGCUGCAAAAACUCUGGCGUCCGUUUCUUCUUGAAGCUGUAGGGAAUUUUAUCCCGCUCACCGAUAUACCGCCGGCCAGUAAAAUCGUCAUUCCACCGUCUUGAUCGACAACCCACCAAAUACCUCUUUCGUCUUUCGUAACAAAAAAGAAGGUGACAUAUUUUUGAUUUCUCUACCAUUUAAUUUUUUACACUUGACGUCCGGCCAACGGUCUUGUACGGCUUAGGUUGUCUGGCCAUUUUUUCUGUUCGAGAGUUUUGUUAUCAAUUUCAAAUUUGAAAAUUGUGUGGGUUGGUCGUCAAUAGUAAAGGGAAAUGUAGUUUUCCAAUCUAGAUUGUUAUCAAUUUCAAAAUAGUAUGGGUUGUUAUCAAUUUCAAAUUUCAAAAAUUCAAGAGUUUUGUUACUCUUCUGGAUUUCUAAAGUGAUGAAAGCAAGAUUGCAUUACACAAUCGUCUUUAGCUAUAGUUUGCAUCUUUUUCUCGUUUAAUUGCCAGGAAUAAUAGUGAACGGAAAUGUAGUUUUCCAAUCUGCCGACCAGAUGUUUGAUGAAAUGCCCGAGUAGAAAAUUUCUUGUAACUUCAAAUGCUGAAUUCAACUAAAAAAAUAUGAGAUAUCCACAAAAAGGCAAAUCAAGUUUGAGUGUGGUCAUGCUUCUUAAUUGGGUUAAUAUUCUUAGCCAACGUUUUGAACUUAAACUAGAAACACUGCAGUUUUGGUUUCAAGCAUUUGUUCAAUUGGAAUCCUUCCACUGAAAUUAAGAUGGAAUUUCGUUGAUAUGGUCAGACCUUUUAGGUCUUCUUAUUGCAAUGAAAAAUGC
Molecule: long non-coding RNA, 50339 nt
Filed under: Olea europaea (common olive)
Lineage: Eukaryota; Viridiplantae; Streptophyta; Magnoliopsida; Lamiales; Oleaceae
Description: long non-coding RNA (OEUR_LNC014971)
Source: RNAcentral